This 46418-nucleotide long non-coding RNA is filed under the name Brassica napus (rape). Its description in RNAcentral is "long non-coding RNA (BNAP_LNC009204)". Lineage: Eukaryota; Viridiplantae; Streptophyta; Magnoliopsida; Brassicales; Brassicaceae. The record is from RNAcentral.
UGAGAGUGAUGGGGAAAGGCCAGUUGUACAUCUUCUUGUCGAGGAUGUACUUGUUGUAGACGAUGACGGUGAAGCUGAGGAAGAUCCAGAUCGCGACGUAGGUGUAGGAGAGGAUGAUCUUCUUGAUGACUCCAUCGCUUAGGGCGCCGCCUUUUCCCAUUGUGGCUGGUGGUGGCUUUCGACGGAGGAUGAGGGAGGAGGAGGAGGAGGAGGUGCGUAGGAUAGCGUCGAGGGUGCAGGAUAAAAGGGGGAGUGGAGAGGAGACCUUUUGGUGUGGUGUUAAUGUAGAGAGAGGGUUGGCAUGACUGGGCUACGCUACGUGGCUUUUAAUACUCCUUUUUUUUUAAUUGACUAAUGGGCUUAGAUCUGGGGCCCAUUGAAAAUUCUCCCUCCCUAUUGUUUUUGAAUUUUCAAUGUAUAAAUAGUGUUUGUUAUUCACUUUUAUGUGGACUAGGGACCCGGGUUUAUCUUCUAUAGUUUUAGAUUUUUCUAUUAUUUUGUAAUUUAUAAUUGAUUCUAAUGUACUUAACAUUUGUAUAAAAGUGUGUGUUAUUCACUUUUACCAAAUUUUAAUUAAUUUUGAAUUUAUGUCUAGAUAACAUGUUUGCUUAUUUUUAAAACUAUUUUAUUAAUUUCAUUUUUUUUUCUUUUGAUUACAUAUAACAUUUUAUGUGGAUGUGAUGUGGGAUAUUUUUAAAAAUAUGAUUAAAUUUACAGUUAUUGCCAGUCAAAAUUACUUAAAUUAUUCCUACUAGUCAAUAUUACCUUUAAAUUUCCUUUUUACAACACUAGAGUAAACUGUCUAUCAAUAAGAUUAUUACUAUGUUAUUUUCUGAAUUUGAUCUGGAUCCAUUGUCUACUUCAACAUUUACCUUUAUCAACAUUUACAUUAAAUAUUGUAUUAUUCACAUUGAUGUUUCUAGUCUUGCCUAACAUUAACUACUGGUCUUCAGACUGUUAGGUUAUGUUUUUUUUUUUUUUUUUUUGAAUUGAAACUGUUAGGUUAUGUUGAUUGACAAAACAUAAAUUAUUGAUAAAAGAAUUGGAGGGUGGCAACUUUUUUUUUUUUUUUGUCACAGGGAGGGUGGCAACUUAAUUUUUAAAAGUAUGGCGUUGUUAAGAAGAGCUGAUGAUGACAGUUGGUUCUAACCUAAAGUCUUUAUUAUUCUUUGUCUUUGAGCUGAUAAGAGAUACUCAUGAUAAUUAAUGCUAUGACUAAGGGUUCAUCAGUUACAGGUUUCAAUUCCCGGAGAAACUGAUUUAUUAAACAAUUAUGCAGGCUACAGAAGAAAAGUUUACAAGGGAUUUUCAACAUGGUGCAAGUAAACUCGGUCAGGCGUGAUCUUCAUAGGACGGCUAAGGUGAUUCAGUUAGGCGUAGAUCUUUAUGGCAUGUAGUAUUGUCGGUUGUCGGAUCGUCUCUGUAAUCUUUCUCAUAAUUGUAAUAUCAUAAUAAAUCAGCGUUAAAAAAAAAAUACUCAUGAUAAUUCAUAAACUUAAGCCAAUCCCAUAUACAAUAUAAUUUUAUUAAAUAUAUUAUAUGUAACCUGCUAUUAAAAAAUAACUAGCCUUCUAUUUUAAAUAUUCUAUCCAAAUAACUAAUUGCUUUUAGUUAAAAAAAUAUCCUUUGUAUAUGUUUUUUUUUUUGAUGACCGUGGGGUUCCCAGGCGGUAAGCCCAGACUAAUCUCCACGAGGCCUUCCAUCCGGGUACGCACGGUUAUAGGCGGGAAGGUGGCCAAGGCGACUCGAACCCAGGGCGGGCACUGCAGCCGGAGUUCCAAUACCACUAGGCCAAGAGCUUUUGGUUUCCUUUGUAUAUGUUGCUAAAUAAUUUUUGGAAGAGAAGGAAACAACGGCAAAAGUUGAGGAUAUAAACCACAGUUUAUAUGGAUGUUAACGAAUGAAGCUUUCACAUCUGCAAAUUUACAAUAUGCAGAGAGUUUCUUCCCCGGCUUUGCAGAUGUGAGUUUGAUAUGUUCCAUCACGAUGUUAUGACACCCUUGAUUUUCAUCACAGUCUAGCUUUAUUGCAAUUUUACUUGCUGAAGUCCCUUCAAUAUAUCUGAAUGUUACGUCGCUUACUUUCACCGCAUUCCCCUGCAAUAUUCAUAAAACAUAUGUGCAUUCAAUAAAAAAUAUGAAUUGAACGUAAAACUCAUACCUAGAGGAAAACUAUUGUACGAUUUGCACAUUUAUCUUUUAGCAAAAAAAAAAUGUUUUGCACACUUAUGUCGUGAUCGUAAGAUACCAAAGGUGAAGCAUAUUGUAAUUUAGUCAUAUGGUUUUAUUACCAAUUGGUUAGUACAGUAACAAUAUUUCAUCGAAUUUGAUUUAUCAUCUAUUUAAGAUGUCUAGUUUGCAAGACUAGAUGUAAAAAAAAAACUUAGCUUAUAGUAUAUAGGUUUAUAUGUGAUUUGUAUACAGAAUUCUAGUAAAAAUUAAUAUAGUUUGAAUAUUACCUUGACAUGACCAGUGCCACCAUUAGAGUAAUGUUGAUCGAUGAUUAUGGGGUAUUUAGUAUUUGUUACCGUAAUAUUUUCAAAUAAUAUAUUCUUGGCUAACCCUUUUCCUCCCUAAAAUAUGCAAGGUUCAAUAUUAUAUAUAUUCUUCAGAAGAAUAUAAUAUUUUGGUUGCAAAAAAAUUUACAUGCCAAGUCUUGAUUCUUGCCCCAUUUUGAGUUCCCCAAAAGCUGCAGCUUCUUACGAUCACGUUCUCAACAGUGUCAUCUAUAUCACCUUUGCCCAAACUUCCAAUGCUGCGUUUUAUUUUGAAUUUUUAAGACAUAAUAAACAAGUUAAUGUUUUUUUUUUGAACAAAAUAAACAAGAUACGGAUAAACAAGUUAAUGUUUAAAAUAAUUUUCAUGAAACAAGUAAAAUACGGAUGAAUUUGAAUCUCUUUGUGCUGUUAUAUCUAGAAACCUGAUACCAUGACCUGGACCACAUGCCACACGAGUAAUGUUGAUGUCGGAAGAACCACCACGCUCACCAGUAAUUGCAAUACAAUCAUCACCUAAUAUGUAUGUAGGAAAUAUAACGACACAUAAAGAAGGAGUUUAUCAUACAUUUUCUCAAAUCCAGUCCAUGUAAUGUAAACAAAACUCAUUUUCAAAUUCAAAUAAAAAGAAGAAUUAAAGAGUACCAGUUUGGAUAGACGAGUCUAAGAUACGAAUAUUGUGUGAAAGAGAAAUACCAAUGCCGUCAGUGUUUGGACUCUUCUCGGGUGCUAGCAAAGUAAGAUUUGAUAAAGUUGCAUUGGUGCAACCAUAGACUGAAAUGUGAUUCUUUGGACUAUUGUAUUGAGUUAGCCCAUUAUAUAUUAUGUCGGUGCAUUGCUUAAAGCUAAGUGUCUGCACAUGCAACACAACAGAAUAAUGUAUAUUACUGUAAAAUUUACUACAUUGUUAUAUAUAAAGAGUGAAAAGGAUUAUGGUGGAAAGUGACCUACUCUGGGUCGUUUAGAGUGACGAACAGAUCGCCACCAAGUUUCUCCAUGGGGGUCAAGGACACCUGAGCCGUUGAUGAAGAGACUUUCCACGUUCUUGAACAUUAACCAACUCUCAGUUCGUUUGUUUCCCCACUGUUUUGGUCUCUUCGGCGCUUCUAUUUUCCCAUCGAUCUUACCCCAGAAAAAUAAAUUAUACAUGUAUGUGAAUAUGUGAAUCAUGUAAUACAUGUGUAUAUGUGUGAAUGGAUAACAAUUUUUGCAUGUGGUAUGUGGAUAUCUUCAUAUAAAUCAGUUGGAUUUAUAACGUGUUCAGAGUACCUGAAUAUGAAUGUAAGAAGAUACGCAUGGACCUUCAAACAGUUGUGGUUGUAUAGUGUAUUUUUCAUUCUCAUUUAUCACUAGCGAUGACCCGCCAGUCCCUUCACCUUCACCUUCGCAUAACCCUUUCCAUGCUUUUUGAAAUACCUUUUUUAAAAUGAUAAAUUUAACAUAUUACGUUUGUUCUUCUGACAAGAAUCUAACUACAGAUCAAUAGUUAUAACAGAUCAAUUACUUGUGAAUAAUCAACGUUUUUAUGGUUAGUAUCAGUUAUGAAAUCUUUGAUCCUUAGAAUCCUCCGGCCAUCUCCGUAUUCCAGAUGACACGAUACAAUUAUAAUCAUUGAGAAUAAUGUUUUCAAACACUUCAUAGUAAAAGAAAAUAUGGGACAAUUGUAUGUAUAUGUUUAAAUAAAAUGAGAAAAUGAUAAAAGAAAAUCAAUGGGAAAGAAAAGGUAUUGUAUCACCAUUUGAAUAUUGUCUUGAAGAUANNNNNNNNNNNNNNNNNNNNNNNNNNNNNNNNNNNNNNNNNNNNNNNNNNNNNNNNNNNNNNNNNNNNNNNNNNNNNNNNNNNNNNNNNNNNNNNNNNNNNNNNNNNNNNNNNNNNNNNNNNNNNNNNNNNNNNNNNNNNNNNNNNNNNNNNNNNNNNNNNNNNNNNNNNNNNNNNNNNNNNNNNNNNNNNNNNNNNNNNNNNNNNNNNNNNNNNNNNNNNNNNNNNNNNNNNNNNNNNNNNNNNNNNNNNNNNNNNNNNNNNNNNNNNNNNNNNNNNNNNNNNNNNNNNNNNNNNNNNNNNNNNNNNNNNNNNNNNNNNNNNNNNNNNNNNNNNNNNNNNNNNNNNNNNNNNNNNNNNNNNNNNNNNNNNNNNNNNNNNNNNNNNNNNNNNNNNNNNNNNNNNNNNNNNNNNNNNNNNNNNNNNNNNNNNNNNNNNNNNNNNNNNNNNNNNNNNNNNNNNNNNNNNNNNNNNNNNNNNNNNNNNNNNNNNNNNNNNNNNNNNNNNNNNNNNNNNNNNNNNNNNNNNNNNNNNNNNNNNNNNNNNNNNNNNNNNNNNNNNNNNNNNNNNNNNNNNNNNNNNNNNNNNNNNNNNNNNNNNNNNNNNNNNNNNNNNNNNNNNNNNNNNNNNNNNNNNNNNNNNNNNNNNNNNNNNNNNNNNNNNNNNNNNNNNNNNNNNNNNNNNNNNNNNNNNNNNNNNNNNNNNNNNNNNNNNNNNNNNNNNNNNNNNNNNNNNNNNNNNNNNNNNNNNNNNNNNNNNNNNNNNNNNNNNNNNNNNNNNNNNNNNNNNNNNNNNNNNNNNNNNNNNNNNNNNNNNNNNNNNNNNNNNNNNNNNNNNNNNNNNNNNNNNNNNNNNNNNNNNNNNNNNNNNNNNNNNNNNNNNNNNNNNNNNNNNNNNNNNNNNNNNNNNNNNNNNNNNNNNNNNNNNNNNNNNNNNNNNNNNNNNNNNNNNNNNNNNNNNNNNNNNNNNNNNNNNNNNNNNNNNNNNNNNNNNNNNNNNNNNNNNNNNNNNNNNNNNNNNNNNNNNNNNNNNNNNNNNNNNNNNNNNNNNNNNNNNNNNNNNNNNNNNNNNNNNNNNNNNNNNNNNNNNNNNNNNNNNNNNNNNNNNNNNNNNNNNNNNNNNNNNNNNNNNNNNNNNNNNNNNNNNNNNNNNNNNNNNNNNNNNNNNNNNNNNNNNNNNNNNNNNNNNNNNNNNNNNNNNNNNNNNNNNNNNNNNNNNNNNNNNNNNNNNNNNNNNNNNNNNNNNNNNNNNNNNNNNNNNNNNNNNNNNNNNNNNNNNNNNNNNNNNNNNNNNNNNNNNNNNNNNNNNNNNNNNNNNNNNNNNNNNNNNNNNNNNNNNNNNNNNNNNNNNNNNNNNNNNNNNNNNNNNNNNNNNNNNNNNNNNNNNNNNNNNNNNNNNNNNNNNNNNNNNNNNNNNNNNNNNNNNNNNNNNNNNNNNNNNNNNNNNNNNNNNNNNNNNNNNNNNNNNNNNNNNNNNNNNNNNNNNNNNNNNNNNNNNNNNNNNNNNNNNNNNNNNNNNNNNNNNNNNNNNNNNNNNNNNNNNNNNNNNNNNNNNNNNNNNNNNNNNNNNNNNNNNNNNNNNNNNNNNNNNNNNNNNNNNNNNNNNNNNNNNNNNNNNNNNNNNNNNNNNNNNNNNNNNNNNNNNNNNNNNNNNNNNNNNNNNNNNNNNNNNNNNNNNNNNNNNNNNNNNNNNNNNNNNNNNNNNNNNNNNNNNNNNNNNNNNNNNNNNNNNNNNNNNNNNNNNNNNNNNNNNNNNNNNNNNNNNNNNNNNNNNNNNNNNNNNNNNNNNNNNNNNNNNNNNNNNNNNNNNNNNNNNNNNNNNNNNNNNNNAGGCACAGUCGUCCCUUAAUCACAGACCACGAAAACGCAAUCAGCAACCAAUCCUUCACCACACCAGCCACAUUCAUAGUCAACGCCGACGUUUUCCCAACCAACAGAAACACAGCAAGAUUCAACGCGAAGGCACACACAGAGUUCGUCCCAAACACAACGAAAUCGAAAUGAAAGCUCGACGUCUCCCUAAGAACCGGCAACUCAACGAAGAUCCAAGGGAAAAACAAAAACCCCAAACAGCAAGGCGCCACGUAAUACAAAGAUGUAAUCGGAUUGAGAUUGAUUCCUUUAGAGGUAAGCAAGAUCUGAAUCAACACAAGCCUCGUCGCCUCGAAGGCCACCGCCCCGAGCUGAAGCAUCACUCCCCAGGUAUCGAACUUCGCCUCUCCGUAGGCAGCGAUCGCUACUCCGAACGAGAUCGAGAGCAUGUUCGUCAUCGUCUCAGAUCUGAACGACUCCUUCUUCAGCAAGACGCCGAUCGAGUAAACGGCGACAGGCAUGAGGGCUUUGAGCAUCUGGAUGAAGGAGACGGAGAGGUAGAUGUAGGCGGAGUUCGAUAGCCAGAGGGAGAGCGAGUACAAGGCCCCGAUCGGGACGACGGAUCUGAGGUAAGUCUCGCGGGACAUUGACACCGGCUCGACGACCUUGAAGACCUUGAUGAGGAGGACGGCGAGGGAGGAGCAGAAGGCCAUGUGGAUCAUGGUGAGAGUGAUGGGGAAAGGCCAGUUGUACAUCUUCUUGUCGAGGAUGUACUUGUUGUAGACGAUGACGGUGAAGCUGAGGAAGAUCCAGAUCGCGACGUAGGUGUAGGAGAGGAUGAUCUUCUUGAUGACUCCAUCGCUUAGGGCGCCGCCUUUUCCCAUUGUGGCUGGUGGUGGCUUUCGACGGAGGAUGAGGGAGGAGGAGGAGGAGGAGGUGCGUAGGAUAGCGUCGAGGGUGCAGGAUAAAAGGGGGAGUGGAGAGGAGACUUUUUGGUGUGGUGUUAAUGUAGAGAGAGAGAGAGGGUUGGCAUGACUGGGCUACGCUACGUGGCUUUAAUGUUACUUUUUUUUUAAUUGACUAAUGGGCUUAGAUCUGGGGCCCAUUAAAAAUUCUCCCUCGCUAUUAUUUUUGAUUUUUUUAAAUGUAUAAUAGUGUUUGUUAUUCACUUUUACCAAAUUUAAUUAAUUUUUAAUUUAUGUUUAGAUUACAUCCUUAAAUAUGUUUGCUUAUUUAAAAAUUAUUUUAUUAAUUUCAAUGUUUUAUUUUAAUUACAUACUAUAACAUUUUAUGUGGAUGUGAUGUGGGAUAUUUUUAGUAUGACUAAAGUUACAGUUAUUGAUAGGCAAUGUUCUUGUACCUGUAAAAAUGUAUUUAAAUGAUUCAUACUAGUCAAUAUUUCCUUCAAAUUUCCAUUUUACGACACCUUAGUAUACUGUUUAUCAAUAAGACUAUUACUAUGUUAUUUUUCUGAAUUUGAUCGGGAUCCAUUGUCUACUUCAACAUUUACCUUUAUCAACAUUUACAUUAAAUAUUGUAUUAUUCACAUUGAUGUUUCUAGUCUUGCCUAACAUUAACUACUGGUCUUCAGACUGUUAGGUUAUGUUUUUUUUUUUUUUUUUUUGAAUUGAAACUGUUAGGUUAUGUUGAUUGACAAAACAUAAAUUAUUGAUAAAAGAAUUGGAGGGUGGCAACUUUUUUUUUUUUUUUGUCACAGGGAGGGUGGCAACUUAAUUUUUAAAAGUAUGGCGUUGUUAAGAAGAGCUGAUGAUGACAGUUGGUUCUAACCUAAAGUCUUUAUUAUUCUUUGUCUUUGAGCUGAUAAGAGAUACUCAUGAUAAUUAAUGCUAUGACUAAGGGUUCAUCAGUUACAGGUUUCAAUUCCCGGAGAAACUGAUUUAUUAAACAAUUAUGCAGGCUACAGAAGAAAAGUUUACAAGGGAUUUUCAACAUGGUGCAAGUAAACUCGGUCAGGCGUGAUCUUCAUAGGACGGCUAAGGUGAUUCAGUUAGGCGUAGAUCUUUAUGGCAUGUAGUAUUGUCGGUUGUCGGAUCGUCUCUGUAAUCUUUCUCAUAAUUGUAAUAUCAUAAUAAAUCAGCGUUAAAAAAAAAAUACUCAUGAUAAUUCAUAAACUUAAGCCAAUCCCAUAUACAAUAUAAUUUUAUUAAAUAUAUUAUAUGUAACCUGCUAUUAAAAAAUAACUAGCCUUCUAUUUUAAAUAUUCUAUCCAAAUAACUAAUUGCUUUUAGUUAAAAAAAUAUCCUUUGUAUAUGUUUUUUUUUUUGAUGACCGUGGGGUUCCCAGGCGGUAAGCCCAGACUAAUCUCCACGAGGCCUUCCAUCCGGGUACGCACGGUUAUAGGCGGGAAGGUGGCCAAGGCGACUCGAACCCAGGGCGGGCACUGCAGCCGGAGUUCCAAUACCACUAGGCCAAGAGCUUUUGGUUUCCUUUGUAUAUGUUGCUAAAUAAUUUUUGGAAGAGAAGGAAACAACGGCAAAAGUUGAGGAUAUAAACCACAGUUUAUAUGGAUGUUAACGAAUGAAGCUUUCACAUCUGCAAAUUUACAAUAUGCAGAGAGUUUCUUCCCCGGCUUUGCAGAUGUGAGUUUGAUAUGUUCCAUCACGAUGUUAUGACACCCUUGAUUUUCAUCACAGUCUAGCUUUAUUGCAAUUUUACUUGCUGAAGUCCCUUCAAUAUAUCUGAAUGUUACGUCGCUUACUUUCACCGCAUUCCCCUGCAAUAUUCAUAAAACAUAUGUGCAUUCAAUAAAAAAUAUGAAUUGAACGUAAAACUCAUACCUAGAGGAAAACUAUUGUACGAUUUGCACAUUUAUCUUUUAGCAAAAAAAAAAUGUUUUGCACACUUAUGUCGUGAUCGUAAGAUACCAAAGGUGAAGCAUAUUGUAAUUUAGUCAUAUGGUUUUAUUACCAAUUGGUUAGUACAGUAACAAUAUUUCAUCGAAUUUGAUUUAUCAUCUAUUUAAGAUGUCUAGUUUGCAAGACUAGAUGUAAAAAAAAAACUUAGCUUAUAGUAUAUAGGUUUAUAUGUGAUUUGUAUACAGAAUUCUAGUAAAAAUUAAUAUAGUUUGAAUAUUACCUUGACAUGACCAGUGCCACCAUUAGAGUAAUGUUGAUCGAUGAUUAUGGGGUAUUUAGUAUUUGUUACCGUAAUAUUUUCAAAUAAUAUAUUCUUGGCUAACCCUUUUCCUCCCUAAAAUAUGCAAGGUUCAAUAUUAUAUAUAUUCUUCAGAAGAAUAUAAUAUUUUGGUUGAAUUUUUGAUGACCGUGGGGUUCCCAGGCGGUAAGCCCAGACUAAUCUCCACGAGGCCUUCCAUCCGGGUAUUCUUGCCCCAUUUUGAGUUCCCCAAAAGCUGCAGCUUCUUACGAUCACGUUCUCAACAGUGUCAUCUAUAUCACCUUUGCCCAAACUUCCAAUGCUGCGUUUUAUUUUGAAUUUUUAAGACAUAAUAAACAAGUUAAUGUUUUUUUUUUGAACAAAAUAAACAAGAUACGGAUAAACAAGUUAAUGUUUAAAAUAAUUUUCAUGAAACAAGUAAAAUACGGAUGAAUUUGAAUCUCUUUGUGCUGUUAUAUCUAGAAACCUGAUACCAUGACCUGGACCACAUGCCACACGAGUAAUGUUGAUGUCGGAAGAACCACCACGCUCACCAGUAAUUGCAAUACAAUCAUCACCUAAUAUGUAGGAAAUAUAACAACACAUAAAGAAGCCGUUUAUCAUACAUUUUCUCAAAUUCAGUCCAUGUAAUGUAAACAAAACUUGUUUUCAAAUUUAAAUAAAAAGAAGAAUUAAAGAGUACCAGUUUGGAUAGACGAGUCUAAGAUACGAAUAUUGUGUGAAAGAGAAAUACCAAUGCCAUCAGUGUUUGGACUCUUCUCGGGUGCUAGCAAAGUAAGAUUUGAUAAAGUUGCAUUGGUGCAACCAUAGACUGAAAUGUGAUUCUUUGGACUAUUGUAUUGAGUUAGCCCAUUAUAUAUUAUGUCGGUGCAUUGCUUAAAGCUAAGUGUCUGCACAUGCAACACAACAGAAUAAUGUAUAUUACUGUAAAAUUUACUACAUUGUUAUAUAUAAAGAGUGAAAAGGAUUAUGGUGGAAAGUGACCUACUCUGGGUCGUUUAGAGUGACGAACAGAUCGCCACCAAGUUUCUCCAUGGGGGUCAAGGACACCUGAGCCGUUGAUGAAGAGACUUUCCACGUUCUUGAACAUUAACCAACUCUCAGUUCGUUUGUUUCCCCACUGUUUUGGUCUCUUCGGCGCUUCUAUUUUCCCAUCGAUCUUACCCCAGAAAAAUAAAUUAUACAUGUAUGUGAAUAUGUGAAUCAUGUAAUACAUGUGUAUAUGUGUGAAUGGAUAACAAUUUUUGCAUGUGGUAUGUGGAUAUCUUCAUAUAAAUCAGUUGGAUUUAUAACGUGUUCAGAGUACCUGAAUAUGAAUGUAAGAAGAUACGCAUGGACCUUCAAACAGUUGUGGUUGUAUAGUGUAUUUUUCAUUCUCAUUUAUCACUAGCGAUGACCCGCCAGUCCCUUCACCUUCACCUUCGCAUAACCCUUUCCAUGCUUUUUGAAAUACCUUUUUUAAAAUGAUAAAUUUAACAUAUUACGUUUGUUCUUCUGACAAGAAUCUAACUACAGAUCAAUAGUUAUAACAGAUCAAUUACUUGUGAAUAAUCAACGUUUUUAUGGUUAGUAUCAGUUAUGAAAUCUUUGAUCCUUAGAAUCCUCCGGCCAUCUCCGUAUUCCAGAUGACACGAUACAAUUAUAAUCAUUGAGAAUAAUGUUUUCAAACACUUCAUAGUAAAAGAAAAUGGGACAAUUGUAUGUAUGUUUAAAUAAAAUGAGAAAAUGAUAAAAGAAAAUCAAUGGGAAAGAAAAGGUAUUGUAUCACCAUUUGAAUAUUGUCUUGAAGAUAUAUUAUAUAACAUGUUUUUUUUUAAUGUUUUUGCGUGGUAUAGGUUAAUACAAUAGAUUUUUUUUUUACUAAAAUUAACAAAGAUUUGGAAAAUUUUGUAACUUGGAAUUACAGUGUAUUAUGUUGAUAGUAUAUGUGUAUAUUUAUAUGUUAACUUGAGACUCAAACAGUCUUAUGAUAUUUUUGAUUACUUGUCAAAAUGUCAAGAUUAAAAACAAUUAGAACUAUUCUGAGAUACAUGCCACGUUCACAGUACAAUCUGAUAUCAUUUAAGAGGCUAACACAACAAAAGAUUAUAUACAAAUUUUAAGAAAACUAGAUUACUAUACACGAACAAGUCUACUCCGAACUUUAUAAAAAAAAACAAGAGUUAGUUCGGGAUCUUAAAAUUUUAGAAAACUGAUUGUAUUCAGAAAUUAGAACAUUAUCUGAAAAGCCUUAAUUUCUAUAUAACGAUGUGUAGAUUGUUAACUAAUAUAGUUUGCUUCAACAACUCUACUAUUAUUAACUAUAGAUUUUUAAAUAAUGAAGAUGAUAAAUAUUAAGAUAAAAAAUCUCUUUACAUAUUAAUCUUUGGUUUUUAGUUUAUAAAGUCGUUUUAGAUUAAUUGAACCUAUAUUUCUAAGUUAUGAUUAAAUAGUGAUGGAAACACAUAACUCAAUAAUAAUUAGUGUUGUAACCUAACCGCUUUCCAUUCUUCUAAACAGAAACACAUCCUUUCAAUUUUGUUUAUAAACUGUUAAAUGAAACCCAACAUAGCAAACAAAUGAUCAAUAACUCUUUGGGGUCAAUAACAAUGUGUCAGACCAACAAUGGGAAAGUAAUAGUAAGAAGUGAGUAAUGGCCCAUUACUAAUGGGUAAUAGAAUAUGUGAUCUCCAAACAGACACUAUGUUUCUCUAAGCUCAUAAACUGCUCAAAACAUUUACCUUCCUUUUAGCUCUGCAAAUCUGGCAGCCAAAUCCUCAUAGUCAGGUAACUUGGGGUGAACGUGCUUAGCUUCACUACGUUCUGGCUGAAACGAGGCGGCACGAGCAAACGUCUUUGCGGGUUCAGAUGGUCCGGCAAAUUGUUCACUGGGGAGACUGAGUGACCGAGCGGGAUGAUGAAUCUCUUCACCUUCUGCUUUUCUAUGAUGUGAACGUCUGCUUUUAGAUUCUUCAUAACUUGAAGGCUUUUUACUGUAAUGCAUCAGAAGUUUAUCCAUCAUCUUUUCCUCACUGUCCUUCUCAUCUUCAUCUACUAAGACUUGAAGGCCUUUCCUUGAGUGUUCCCUUCUUCUGCUGCUUCUUGUAUCAUCUCCAUCACCCGUUUGUACAAUGUGUUUUCUUCUACUAGAUCGCCGCUUCAGAGAUUGAUCAUCUCUGUCAUUCACUUGAUGCUGACCUGCUUCAGAAACCUUUUUAUCAGUGUCUGGACACUUUCCUUCUUCACCAUCAAACCGAGCCUUUGGAUAAGCUGAAGCUUCAGGUUUUUCAAUCUUUGCUUUACCAUUCGGUUUAACAUACGGAGGUGGGGGAAGGGACUUCAUCAUUCUCUCUGUUUCUCGCUCCUCAAACUUCCUUGCUGGAUCAUAUCCAUCUCCACCACCCUUGAUGUUACCAGCAGGUGAAUUUUUUUCUGUGCCCUCUCGCACAGGAACUGUGUUUUCUCUCCUCUCGUGAUCGCUGCGAUGUCUACGGACUGAAUCUAUAGAUGGUGUUCUUUUCGACCUUGGCUUUGGAGGCAUUGAGAGGUUAUCUUCUACUUUCUGAGGCGCAUGCUCUUCACCAUCCUCAUGUUUGUAGCCUUUGAAGAAACUUUCUUGCUUAAAGCCAAGAACUAACUUAUCUUCUGUUUUGGUGCUGCUACGCUUGUGUUUCUCUGUCACCUCUGUUUUCUUAGGCGCUGCAGCAGCUUCACCAUUUUGAUGUCCAACCCCUUGAACGAGAUUCUCACGUUUGAUCUUCAUCACUAUAGUGUCACCUUCGUUAAAAAUAGGUUGAGGUCUUCCUCUGGAAGAUUUGUGCUUAGGUUGCAAAUGGAACUCUUUUCUCUCUGCCCUGUCAUCCUUGAUAUCCGAUCUGGAGGCGUGACGAACAUCAUCUGACUUAUCUUUAGAUGCUAGCCCACGCUGAUGUUCUCUGAGACCAUUCUGAUAAUUAUCCGGUCGAAAGAAAGGAUCCCUUCUCUCUGAUGCAACAUCCUUUUUCCUUUCUGAUGGCAAGGCCACGCUUCCGUCUAAAGACUUGUGCUUCUCGUGAGUGGUAUCCUGUUCAUGACCAUGAGAAAAAUCAUAAAUCAGUCACGUUCCAAAUAUUUCAGGUUAUUGCCCCUUAAACCAAAUGAGUCAUUCGUCAUACCUUUACUGAACUACCAUUUUGCCUCAAGAUCCUCUUCUCAAAAGCUUUAGAAUCCCAACGAAUAGCAUACUCCGAUGCAACAUCUUCCAUCAACUUCACUUUCUUCUCCAAAGAAAAUGGCUUUGAUGUCAUAUUCUCAACAAGCUAUAAGAAAAAAACAAGUACGUGCUUAACCAUACAUGCUCAAUAAGAUUUCCAGAUGAGUUUAACUGAUAAAAAUAAAUACGUGAGAAAAAAAACUCUUACCUCUUGAUUGACAAACACACUAAGUGAAUCUGCGUACUUCUCGUGAAACAUCUGCCUCAGCUCACGCAGCUCAGGCAAUUCAGAAAAUCCAGCGGCUGCAAACAUUAACGACGACACAGCUUCACGACAAUCUUCUGGACAUUCCCUGGAAAAGCAAGCGCAAAUCAACUAAUCAAAACAAAACCAUGUUUCCACCAAGAACAAAGUACUUUUAAGUCUUUAACUAUCUUUGAGAAUGCUUAACUAAGCCACACAAAAAAUUACAUAUCACUAAAGAAACAUGAACAACGUGAGUAGGAAAACGCCAAAAAGAUGAGGUAAUGACUUUCGUUAUAUAUAAUCAAUAUUUAUAAACAAAAGUCCAAACAACCUGAUCUUGAUUCUUCAAUAUAAAACCUAACAAGUUGAUAUGCCAGAGAAUCUACAAGUAAAUUUCUCAUCUACUCAUAAGUAUGUUACAGCUAACUCAAGAAUCAUAAAAUAUUCUCAAAGCAAAAGCCAUUAACAGUCUUACUCCAUCUUCUGCAUCGUAGAGAGUUGCUUAUACACGAAAUCACAAGUGCUCUCGACGAAAUCAAGAUUCCAGAGAUGCCUUAGUUCAUCAAGAAGCCCUCCCGCCUGCAUAUCUCAAACGAUUAUCAUCAAAAAACCAAAUCUGAAUCCCUAAAUCAAUCCUUGUAACGAACGAUAACGUUACCCUGGUAUAAGCAUUGACGUCACGGCCAUUAGAGAUAAGAUCGGCAAAAUCUCCCUUGAGAAACUUGAUCGUGGCGGUCCUCUUCCUCCGAAGAACAUCGAUCCGAUUCUUCGUCAGUUUUAUCAGUGGCUUCCUGCCGAAUCAAAUCGCACGAUCGAAUCGAUUUCGCACAUUAAAAGAUUAAAGAGUUAAUCAGAGAGAAGAGAAGAGAAACAAAACCCCUUGGGAGCGAAUCCGCGGCCUAAGAUACCGUCAAACAUCGUAAGAUCGCUUCGCAACAACGACGGUUAAGAUUCCGAUUGUGAUCCGCCGGGAAACGGAAGCUCGAGUGAUAGAGAGAGAGAGAAUGGCGUUUUUCUUCAGCUGUGGGUUUUUAAAAUUGAAGGCAACCGCAUCUCAAGCUGAGUGGAGAACAUGAAGGUGGUGGUGAGAGACCUUAGUCCUUUAUUGAUACGACUACGUUUUGACCUUUUGGUGUUGUUAACGUUAUAAAGGGUAUUUUGGGGAAUUUAUUAUUUCUUUUUCCUUUUUAGGUGGUGAGUGAGUGAGGGAUCAAAUCGAUAACUUCUGCUAGCUGUUGUUGUUCUUCUAGUGGAAUUGGGUGGGAUGAUCUGGUACAAAUGGGUCCAAUCUCAUUGCAUGGAGUCUGUAGACCUGCACCAAUAAAUGAAUUUAAUUCACCGACGGCUUUAUUUUAAAGCUUUUUCUUUAACCGAUUUUCUCUCUUUUGUCAGAAAUGUUUUUUUUGGUCUAAUUUUGUCGGGAAAUGUUUGUAAAAUAUUUUACAUUUGUUUCGUUUUUCUUUUGUCAACACAUUUGUUUUCGAUUCAUUUUUGUAAACUGGAUUUGAUAUUACGGUUUAUGCAUUAGUAAAUGUUUUCAACUUGUUAUAUGUAUUAACAAACAAAUUAAUAUGUUGACUAAUAUGUGGACAUCAAAAAACAUCAUUGCUAAUUGUCCUAAUCCAUCGUCUGUUAUUUAAUUCCUCAUCGAUUAUUUAAAGAGAGAAUAACUCUUGUGUCCAUGUUCUUGAUUUGAUUAAGGCCGUGGAAACCGGCUAAAGAUGCGAAGGAUUUCGCCUUUAAGCCUAUCUGUUUAGGCAGAAUCAAAUUCCCUUAAUCCACUUACUUACGUGCUUCCGUGUCCAAUCAAAUUUAGAGCUGUAAAAUGGUUGGGCUGUCCAAUGGAUGUCCAUGUUCAAAUAUAUUUGGGUUUCCAUUAGUUAUACCAAUAUUUCUAGAUGAGUUUUAAAUGGUCAAAACUGGGAAACCAAUUAAUCUAUGGUUGUUUGUGGAUUUGGUUAAUACGGACAUGGGCGGCCCAAUUAAAAAAAAAUUUAGGGUUUCCAAAAUUUGGAGAAAAAUUGGAAAAUUUCAUUUCAUAGUGAAAGAGAGUUUAUGCGACUUCUUUGGCGAUUUUGGUGAUUGAAACUUGGUUCCAUCGGAGAAAUUGAGUUUUUCCGCCAAAACCGCAAAAUCAAGUUUUCCCACCAAAACCGCAAAAUCGAGUUUUCCUGCCAAAACCGCAAAAUCGAGUUUCCUGCAAAAUCGAGUUUUUCCGCUAAAACCGCAAAAUCGAGUUUUCUGAAAAAUCGAGUUUUUCUGCCAAAACCAGAAAAUCGAUUUUCCCCGUCAAAACCGCAAAAUCGAGUUUUCCCGCCGAAACCGGAAAAUCGAGUUUUCCCGCCAAAACCGGAAAAUCGAGUUUUCCCGCCGAAACCGCAAAAUCGAGUUUUCCCGCCGAAACCGCAAAAUCGAGUUUUCCCACCGAAACCGCAAAAUUGAGUCUUCCCGCUGAAACCGCAAAAUCGAGUUUUCCACCAAAACCAGAAAAUCGAGUUUUUCCGCCAAAACCGGAAAAUCGUGUUCUACCAAAACCAAAAAAUCGAGUUUUCUUGCCAAACCCGAAAAAUUGAGUUUUCCCGCCAAAACCGUAAAAUCGAGUUUUCCCGUCAAAACCGUAAAAUCGAGUUUUCCCGCCAAAACCGAAAAAUCGAGUUUUCCUUGCAAGAUUGGAAAAUCGAGUUUGUCCGUCAAAACCUCAAAAUCGAGUUUUCUGCCAAAACUGUAAAAUUUGUAGGCUUAUAGAUAAAAAAUAUAAAAAUUUCUUAUAUUGUCCAUUAUGGAUUUCAUGGCAGCCCAUGUAAACAUGGGUGUUAGCGGGUCUGGUCUUUAAUGGACAUGGUUCCUAAUGGAUAUGGUGAUUCUUUGUCCACAAACAAUAAAUGGAUAUGUGCUAAUGUACGGCUCUAAUCAAAUUACAUUAAAAUACUUUCUGACAAGAAUAAUGAUCCUUUUUAGACAGGAAUAAUGAUUCUUAAAAAAAAAGGAAUAAUGAUUCUUUUUUAGACAAGAAUAAUCAAAUUUAAACCAAAUUCCACAAUUCAAUCUAAAUUUGAGUUGAUUUGUUUUUUAAUGAGGUUUUAUAUGAUUUUGAGGAAUUACAGAGAAUAAAAUAAUUUUUGUUAAACCACUCUAGAAUAUCAUAUAAAACCAUGAGAUUUGAGUUUUAAUUUUUUUUAACCAAGAAACUCCACCCAAACACUCUAAAAUCACUUUAAAACUUUAAAACUCCACGACUUAAAAUACUUUGCAAUAACAAUGGAUUUCAGAGUACCUUAUAAAAUGUCAAGUUCAAUAACACUGGAUUUUAAAUGAGUUUUUAAAAUUCAUGUUUCAAUAACAGUAAAUUUGUCAUUUUGACACAAAUCACCUAAAACUUUCAAUUCAAUACAUCCCCCUUAGUCUCACUCUAUAUACUUCUAAUUAACAAAGUAGUAGAAUUUAGCCAAUUAUUCUCCCCCUCUCGUAAAUAUUACUUUUAAAAAAUAUACUAUUAAAAUAUAAAUUUAAAAUGAGUUAACUAACUAUAAAUAAUACGGUAAAAUAUUAUUGAUCAACCAAUUUUCAAUAAAAUUAAAAUAAUAUUAAAAGUAGAAAAAUUACAUCGAACAUAUUUUAAAACAUCUUAUAUAAUGGAACAAAAAGAAUGUUUCUUUUUUGGUUUGAUGAAAAACUGCUUUAAAAUAUUUAUAUUUUUUCUAAUAUUUUCAGUUCAUUUUGGUUUGUUAUAAAACGAUCUCAAAUAUAUUCAUCUAUUUUAACUUUAAAAUAAAGUAAUUCUAAAAUAGGUUAACUCUAAAGUAAUGAUAUAUUUUUAUUUUUUAUUUUGAAAAGGAAUAAUUUUAAAAUAUUCUUUCUAUUUUACAACUAGUUCCUUUUGUUAAAUUAAUUUAAUUACUUUUAACUUUUAUAAGAUUUUUAUAAAAUUAUAACUUUGUUUAAACUAAAAUUAAAAAGAUUAUUAUGUAAAUAAAAAAUGUGAUUCUAUUUUUAUAAAAAGUAUAUUUCUCUAAAAAGUAUUUUUUAGUUAUAAAUAAAAUUUAAAAGUUAAAUGACUUUUUGAAAAUAAAAAAGUAUGAUUUUAAAGUUAAAAAUGCUAUUUUAACUCUAUAAUUAGAAAAAGAAAUAGCAAUAUGUUAUACUAAGAAAAAAAUAGAGAUGAGUUGGAACAUAUUCUUCUCUAUUAUAAUAUUUAAAAUUGAAAAUAUCAAUGAGUUGAAAAUGCUCUGAUAUAUAUAUAUAUNNNNNNNNNNNNNNNNNNNNNNNNNNNUAUAUAUAUAUAUAUAUAAUUUUGGACUCUACUGGAAGUUAUAAUGGCUAAAAUUUGUUUAUAAAUUCAAGGAUGUGAAUAUGAAUAUUUAGAACUUUGGGAUCAAUUUGAAAGGAAUAACAAAUAGCGGGGAUGAUAAGAACAUAUACUCCAUGAUAUUUUCAGUCUCAUAAAUAUCUUUCAUCUCCUCUCACACACACUCCACUAAAAAAGAAGAUUACCAAAAAUGAUCCUGAGAAGCGCGUCGUCACUGGACCUUAACAUACGCGCUGCCCAAAAAUCCCCAGCUCCACGGUGUGCAAACGGAGCUCGCGUGGCAACGACGGCUCGUCCCGUCUCCGCUUCUCGCCGAGGAUGUAAGUCGAUGCCCAGAGCUUCUUCAGAUGGAAACCUCCACGAGAAGAGAGCGAUACAGAGCAGAGCCAAAACGCCCAGCGUCAACCACGACGACGCGUCGUCUUCCAGGGUCUUGGAGAGAUCAAGGCUCCACCAAGGAGGUUCUAACGGUGGAUUUGGCGGUAGAGGUGGAGACGGUGGAGACGGUGGUGCCGGAGGUCACGGCGGAGGGGGAGGUGGAGGUGGGAGCGUUGAUGGUUACUACGAAGAGAUGAUACAGCGUUAUCCUGGAGAUGCUCUUCUUCUCGCUAACUACGCUCGUUUCCUCAAAGAGGUAUACAUACACAUACACUUACAGGGACAAGAUAAAGACAAAACUAAACUACAUAGUGUAAUGAGUUUAAUUAACACUUGGACUUUGGUCUAUAUUAUUUUUCGUCGAUCUUUGUGCAAAAUUUUGGGGUUUUAAGAGUCUUAACAUUUUUACAAAAUAAAAAAUAAAAAAAUUGUGUAUUAAUAUUGUGCAGGUGAAGGGUGAUGAGAGAAAAGCAGAGGAGUACUGUGAGAGAGCGAUGUUGUCUGAGGAUGGGAGAGAUGGUGAGAUGCUGUCUAUGUAUGGAGAUUUAAUAUGGAUAAAUCAUGGAGACGGUGCUCGUGCUCAGUCUUACUUUGAUCAAGCUGUUCAAUCUUCUCCUGAUGACUGGUGAGUAGAAACAUAACUAUAUUUGUUACAGUUCAGUAUCUGCUUAGAACCCUGAUGAUUUACAUGUAAGGAAAGUCUCUAACUUUGGAUUUGGGUUUUCCUUAAGGUAUAUCCAAGACGCAAACCUCACAAGUUUUUAAUCCAUUUUUGGUAGAUUGCUGAGUAUUUGUUAGAACCAGUUUUAUUGAUUGUUUCAGAGGAAUGGUUUUGUUGAAAGGGAAUAGUAAGAUAACAUUUCACGUAAAUGAUUUUGUGGAUCAAAUGUGAUUCGCUCUAUAUCCAACAUUUGAAGAAGUUGAUUGGUCACGUUAUUGAAAAUGACAGACAUCUCAUUCUCGAUUUUUCCUAUCUGCAUCUCUGCAUCUUCAAUGUUUAUGUGGUGUGGCAGUAGUUGAUACAUUACAUCAUCAUCAUAAAUAUAGAUCUAAUACAUUUGAUUAAUUGUUUUAUGGCAGUCAUGUUCUUGCCUCAUAUGCUCGGUUUUUAUGGGAUACUGAAGAAGAAGGAGAAGAAGAGGAAGAGGAGGAAGAAAGUAAAUAUGAGAAUGGUUUCUCUACCUAUAACCCAUCUGUGUCAGUCAUGUCCUGACCCUUGGUACUGAUCUUAAAUAACAAUUUGAAAUCCGGUUUAAUCAUAAAAUAUCUUGUGCCAUUGAGAUAGAUUGAUGCUUAUGUGUUGGAAAAGACGAACCAAGUAUCAAAACUCCAAAGACGCAUUAUAGUGUGAUAUUUCAAAGAAGAUAAAAGUGGUUUGUGUCCAUAGGCUUAGAGCUAAAAAGGUGUGAAUUGGGAUUGGUCAUGGGCUCUGGAUAGAAUCAAUUAUUGGUUGUCAAAAAUAAAAUCAAUUAUUGAUCAAUGGUUGCUAGAGACGUCUUUGUGUCGAUGCAUGCAUGAAAUGAACUUUUAUCGUUGCAAUUUGCAAUAAGGAAAUGAACCUUUUUGUGUUUAUAUCAAGAAAUUAUUUUUUCUUUAUGCAAGAAUGUUUACUAAAAUUUUCUUUCUACACCUUCACGCAUGUUGUUAGACUGUCAAAAUCUAUACUCCAUGUUUACUAUGUUAAAGAUGAUCCAACUAUAACAAAGAUAAAGAAUACACUGAGCAUACGAAGAAAAUCUCCUGAAUAUUCACUUUUAGAAAUCAAAACAUCAAAAAGAAAAAGAUCUUGACAUCAAAAUACAACAUAAAAUUUAAGCAAAAAAAAAAAAAAACAUAAAAGAUUAAAAACAUUACACCAUCAAACAUAGAAACAUAUAAAAAAGCAACACCCUUUAGAACCAAACACAAUGAUUCUUUUCACUCUUUUACCCAUUUCUUCUCAAACAAGUUUUGGUCGAAGAUAUAUAUAACUAUUACAUGCUUUCUUUUCCUCUUGUCCUCCUUAAUUAAUGCAGAGCUCUUUAUGCUCAACAGCAACCGCUUCAGAUAUCUCAAUGGUCUCGGCUCUGUCUUCAUCCACCCUUGGAGAUACAACCUUAUCCGCCGAGUCUUCUUCUCCAUCAGCUUUGGGUGACGCAGUCACUUGUGUUACCUCUUCUAUGGGAGUUGAUGACUGGUUUUGGGUUUCUGCUUCUUUUUCAAGUUUCUUUCUUUCAGGUUUCACCUUUGCUGAGGUUGUGGCAACGGGGAGAGCUGUUUUCUGAGAUGGCAAUCUUGGAAGUGACUUGCGCAAUGGUUGCUUCUUGGGAUCAACUGUUGCCACAGUUCCCUUAGCAGCUGGGUGAUCUCUAGAGGUUUUCUCAUCUAGGCUCAACCUACCGAUGCGAGGGGUUUGAGUUUCUUCAGAAUCAGUCUUCUUUCUCCCGAGUUUCGGAGAUUUGGGCCUUGUUGGUGGUAUCUACAAUAACAAUGAGAAUUAGUAUUUGAUUAAAAAAGUGAGAGAUUAUGGUUUGAGAAGAGAGGAGAAGUAGAUACCUUCUUUAACUCUGUUUUAGGGGGCUGAGAAAAGCUAGGCAUGGGUGUGGCUUUGAAGUUCAAGCUCUUCCUCAGCUUCCUAAGCUCAGCUUCUUCUGUUUCCUGUGAGCGAGCCACGAGUUUUUUGUUUUAACAAGAAGUAGGUCGAGAAUAUACUAUGACAAAGAAGAGGGUUUAGAAGACAAACCUUGGACUUGGCUUGCAUGUUGUUAAUCUCCUCUUCUUUCGCAUGAGUUUUUUCCUCAAGCUUAACAUAGAACUGUGCACAAACGCAGAAACAUGAUUUGUUUUAAAACAUGUUUGUGGAGAUAGGACAAAGUAUAUUGAAUCAGAAGUUCAAGCACACAAACCUCUCUUCUCUUCUCAGCCCGUUGGUCACAUUUGAAACUGAAUCCAUAAUUUGGAAGUGCACCAACUUUACGAGGUUUGCCAUCGUCUGCCUUGGGGCUACUAUGGAAACCAGAAAGUCAAAAUCAACAUAAAUGCAGAAUUGCCUCAAGCUUGCCACAAGAAAGAAGAGAUGGUAAAGAUAAAAGGUGAAAGAAAAUACUUAGAAGACUGAGUAUCAUCUUCAGAUGUCUCAUGGGUUUGUUUCUUUUGAGGCUUUGGUUUCACCUUGUCCCUGUAUCAAAGAGAGUAAGAAAUCUCCAGGUUUCAACGAUUGUUAAAAGGACAAAAUGACUAAAUGAGAAGACUUAUAAGAUAUAACCAAUGUAUAAUCUAAUAUAUGGAAGUUAUUGAACUCUAGCAAAAGUUCAAGUUUUAUGGAAAGGAACUCUGAUUUCAAAAAUGAGGACUCAGUACCCGGUGGCGCUUUCAGCUGGUGCAGAGUCUUGCUUUCCAUGCUGAUAUGAAGAAAUCAUCAGCUUGAAAUAAGAACAAGGUCACACAAGAAUAUGCAAAUAAACCUAGAAGCAAGAGAUAAGUACCUCCGUGACGUGAGCCGCUCUGCCAUUGAGUGAUGUGCUUUUUAGAGACUUUGUUGUAGGUGCUUUAGGAGCAACAGAAGUUACAGAACCAUUUGAUGCUGCCACUUUAACAGUUGCAUCUUUUUUCUCUUUCUUCUUUUUGAUAUGUACCGAUGGAACACUCUUACCACCUGAGAGUUUCUCAUGCUUAAGCUUCUUUUCGCCUUUAACAUGCUCUUGAUCUUCUACAUUUACACCUUGUGUGACCUAAAAUAGUAAAAGAGACAAAAACACAAAUGUUAAUCAUAGCCAUUUAUCUAACGGACGAGUAGACAAACCAUCCAAGAGUUACAAACCUCAGCUGCUGUCUCUUUGGGCUGUUCAACUGCAUCCAAAUUGGAACUAUCUCCUGAAUUCUCAUUCUGACUAUCCGAAGUAGUAUCCAACGUCUCGCCAGAUUCAACACCAACAUCUUCCACUGCUACACCACCAUUUGCAAGAGCAGAGUCCGUCCCAUCAGCAGCCAUGACACUUUCCGGAUCCAUAGUAAACUACAAAACAACAAAGAUGGAGUUCACACUGAUAUAAGUGAAGAAGCAGAAAAGAUUAUGAACAGAAAUAUUAAGAAAAUUUUACCUAAAAAAGCAUUCACUUAAAAUUAACACAAACUUGAAACCAGGCAUUGUAAUGUAAAACAAUCAAAAGACAACAAACAUGUUUCACCAAAAUCAAAUCAAAGUGCUUUUGUAGGGUUUAUGAAGUGAAACAACACAUAUCAGUGACCAAGACUCAAGCUACAACAUUUUAGAAGUGUUGAACAUCAAAAGCACUCUUCUUGUCCAAUACCCAAAGGCUUCAGCUACUCAUAAGUAAAUGGAUUCGUACAAAACCAGGUCACCAGGUCGAUCAAAUUAAAGACAAAACCUACUCACUUAGCUUACUCAUCCAUAACUAACUGAUCUACGUAAACAAAUCAGAGAAACACAAAUUUAAUCUGGAAUUUAAAAAAAAAAAAGCAAAUCUAAAUCUUGUGGUACUGAGCUCACUAGUGAUGGCAGUUUCAACUUUGGAUCUACCGACACUCUAAACCAAGCAAUGAAAAACGAACAAAGUAGAUAACUUUCCUCAGAAGUUCCGCCAUUUUUUUCACAGCAACCAAACAAAGAAGAAACAAGAAGACAAGGCCAAAAGAAACAAACAAGCAAAAAAAAAAACACGAAGACGCACAUAUUUACUCACCAAACGCAGUUACCAGAGCAAAUCAAGCAUCCAUUAAAGGUGAAAUCGAAGGAGAAGACUAAGGAAGACGAGGUUUCAUAGAGUUUUGAGAUUUCGAUUUGUUCUUUGAGUGCUUUUUUUUUUGUUGGUUUUGGGUUUUGUGAGGGAUGGAUUCUCUCUGUCUACUCAAGUUUUUUUUUGUUCUUGUCUUUUUUUUUUUUCUCUAUGUGAAUAGAGAAAAAUGUCAAAACUCCCAUUUAAUAUUUAUUACAACGACUAAUCUAAUUACCACGUCAUCGGUGAAAUUACGGUUAAUCGGCGGUUUAUUUAUAUUUUAAUCGUGGGACUGAUGGGGAGAGUGGAGGUUUCGUGGAGCUAAAUAGUAUUUUCCUAAUUUCCACUGUUAAAACUUAAAAAUAAUUUAAAUAUUUUUCUUUUUAUAUACUACAAGUCCUAUAUAACUAGAAGGCAUGUAUUACAGAAAUCUCUCACAGGCCCAUUUCCCCAGACGAGUGCACUCCUCAGAUCUAGUUCGAUCGCCUCCGCUCCCCACCUCAGCUCCUCCGUUCUGUAGCUCCGACAUCCACCGCAACUACUUUCCGGCGUGAAGAAUUCUGGGGCAAUCGAUUCCCCCUUUUAUGGUGGUUCUUUGUACGGUGUAAAAAUGAAAUCUGGAAAGAAACCCAUGGCAGAUCUGGGAGCUUUGUUCGACGAAAUCUUAAUAAACUAAACAUACCAGCUUCUUACCUAGACGCUGAGGACCGGAGGACAGUUUCCUCUCUCGUCAGUGAGACCUACCACACUCAGUCUCUACGGACACCUCGUCGUUACCUCACAGUGAGGAUUCAACCCAUCUCAUUAAGCAGUGCAACCUACAUCAACAUGUCGAACCGGUAUUCAAGAUCCGAAAAAGGAAAAUGGGUGCCUGAGGCAUCUAGAACCCCAACACGGAAGCCCUCAUCGCAAGGAAGAAGAGCCCCAAUUCUACUCCCGUCAAGUGACAACUCAGAACUCAUCGAAGACAACAAGCUCACUCUCUUAGGUCGGGUCACCAAACCAUCGAUCCAAAAACCUCAGUGGGUCCUGGACUGGCUAAUCCAAUUCUGGAACCUCGAAACCGCUGUCACAGGAAGAACUCUAGGACCAGACUUGUUCCAAGUCAAAUUUGAGACAGAGGAUGCCUUACUAUCUGUAAUGCGGCGAGCACCUUUCCACUACAAAAGGUGGAUGAUCAUCCUACAACAAUGGGAGCCAAUCGUCUCAAACUCUUUCCCCAGGCGUACUCCAUUCUGGAUUAAUAUUCACGGCCUGCCCCUCCACUUCUGGACCUUCCAGAUCCUAGAAACUAUUGGAAAAGCGCUUGGUGUCCACAUGGAUGAGGACAUUCCCCAAGGCAGAGUUCGUGUGGAUAUUGAUUGUCUAAAAAACCUGGAGAUGCAACUUCCGGUCCAACUACAGUCUGGUGAAGUCUUCAAUGUGGACUUGGAGUACGAAAAUCUGCAGAAACAUUGUUUCUACUGCUACUCUCUCUUCCAUGAGGAGGAUGACUGCCCUAGUAAACCAGUAUCGACAAGAACAUCUACCCACGAGUUGGGAAUAAGCCAGCAGAAUACACUGAGGAGCCUAGAGGAUCACCGAAGACGUCAAGACUAUCGACGAGCUCAGACAAGCCAAAUGAGGAACUCGGGUUCUCUUCCUAGAGAUGAUCAUGCGGUAUCUCAAAGAUCAUCUACCUCUCGACCAAGUUAUCCGGAAAGAAGACCUUACCAUGACUAUGCGCGACACCAACCAACUUAUGACUCAAGAGCUGUAGGGAGAGCUCAGGACAGGAGGCCUACAUUUGAGAGAAGAGAGAUAAGAGACCGUUCAUCCACCCAUUCUUCGAGAGAAUACCACCUUCAUGGGGAUCGUCCUCAAUAUUCUCAGUCCUCAAGGACCCCUCCCCCGAAUCCAGCCAGGGAGCCUAUGGAACUACCGGUUAUUCCGGAACGUGGUGAGAUUAACAGCCACUCCUCAGAGCGACGAUCAGCGCUGGAGAGAAUUGAGCGUCCCCAUCAGGAACCCCAGAGGUCUGGUGGUCUCUCCACCUCAUUGAUAGCACGGCUGCAAGAUGUUGAGGUCAACUAUGAGCAAGGAGACCUUCGUAAUAAACUUGAAGGAAGUGCUGGUAGCAAACAUAACCAGUCACCGGCUAGGGAUCACCCUGUGCCUGGUCAGAGAGUCCCUGCUGCACUGAGAAUUGGCUCUCCUGCAGGCACUAAAACCAAAACUAAUCAAGCAUCCUCAAGUAAAAAGAAAGCUGCAAGCAAAGCAUCGGCAAAGAAAGGAACCACUGCUAAUCCAGCAGCUCAAGGGAAGAGAGCAACCAGAGCAAAAGUGAAUAGAAGUCCUCUCCAAAGUACGCGCCUUUCGAAUUAGAUAACAGCUCGCUCCACUAAUCCACCCCGCAAGAAAUUAUGUGUGGAAAAGAGUGGGAAUGAAGACUUACCUGAUCCUCAGGCGCAAGAACCCCCAACAAUGGUGCAAGUCCCAGCAACAAGGAAGCGAAGGGCGGAUUUUCGGUCCCCGCAAAACCCGAUUCCUUAGCUCUAGCCUGUUGGAACUGUCAAGGUUUGGGAGGUGACUUGACAGUUCCAAGAAUCCGGGAAAUAAAAAAGACCCUAAACCCGGAUAUUCUCUUCCUAAUGGAGACCAAAAAUCAAGAUGAGUUUGUGCUUUCUGAGCUCCAGAGUCUCCGAUAUGAUCACCACAUCACAGUCCCACCAAUUGGCCUCAGCGGAGGCUUGGCACUCUUCAGGAAAGCAAACAUUGACAUCAGUAUACUUGAAGCGACCCCACACUUCAUUGACACCAAACUGAAGGUAAAAAAUACUGAGUUUCAUGUCACUUUUAUAUAUGGGAUGCCUCAACAGGAAAAUAGAGCAGCGUUUUGGGAAUCCAUUUCCCAGCUUGGACGAGACAGAGAUACUGCCUGGCUUCUUUCAGGGGACUUUAAUGACAUCUUAGACAAUGUGGAGAAGGUCGGGGGACCAGAGAGAUGUGAGGGUUCCUUUAUCCCAUUUCGAAGCUUUGUGUCGGAAAAUGGCCUGUGGGAUGUGAAGCAUGUAGGAAACCCCCUUUCGUGGAGGGGACAACGAUGUACUCACUUCAUCCGAGCCAGGUUGGACCGUGCAUUAGCAAACUGUGCUUGGUUUGAUAUGUUCUCUGCUGGCCGCUGUGAUUACUUCCGUUUUGAGGGUUCUGACCAUAGACCUCUGGUGACCUACUUGGAUUCAUCUAAGCCUAAGAGGAGGCGCUUGUUCAGGUACGACCGAAGCAUCAAGGAUAUGCCAGAGGCACGCAAAGUGAUAGAAGAAGCCUGGAGGAAAGAGGUACUUGAGCAGGUGGAAAAUAAGAUAAAGCGUUGCCGUGAGGAACUAAUCAAAUGGUUUAAAACCAAGAAGGAGAAUAGUGCAAAAGCUAUUAUUGAUCUCCAGUCUAGAUUGGAGGAGCAUCUUUCCUGUGGAGACCCAUCCCCGGAAAUCAUCAGGGAGCUCUCCCUAGCCCUCAGCAAAGCAUACAAGGAGGAGGAAUUGUAUUGGCGUCAAAGAAGUAGGGUGCAAUGGUUACAAAGAGGAGACAGGAACAGCGCCUACUUCCAUGCUGUAACUAAACGAAGGAGAUCCUAUAAUCGCCUAACCACCAUUGAAGAUGAAGCCGACAUACCUUUUCAUGAGGAGACUGAGAUCGGUAAAGUCUUUGAAGACUACUAUACCGAACUCUUUACAUCUAAUGGCGCUGGUGGUCUGGGAGCUGUUGAAGAAGCCAUCUCAAGGCGUAUUUCCCCGGAGACCAAUCAAAUACUCACGGCGAUCCCAACGGAUACGGAGAUUCUCUGCGCAGUGAAGCAAAUCAACACUGAUAAGGCGCCAGGGCCAGACGGUUUCUCUGCAGGGUUCUAUCAUUCCUUUUGGGAAGUGAUAGGGGAGGACAUUUGUAGGGAGGUGCGGGACUUUUUCCUGACUGGAAAAAUGGAUCCAAAAAUCAAUGAAACCCAUAUUUGUUUACUCCCUAAGGUCUCUGGUGCAAAGAGCCCCUCAGAGUUCCGUCCCAUAGCGCUCUGCAAUGUGCGCUACAAGAUCAUAGCAAAGAUACUAACCCUUCGUCUCCAGAAGUUCCUUGAUCACAUCGUGUCCAAACAGCAAUCAGCUUUUGUCCCGGGACGUGCUAUUACGGACAACAUCCUUAUCACUCACGAGAACCUGCACUAUCUAAAGGUUUCUGAAGCCUCAAGGAGAUGCUCCAUGGUGAUCAAAACCGACAUGAGCAAAGCGUACGAUAGAAUUGAGUGGAAUUUCCUAGCCAAAGUCCUCAGCCAGCUAGGCUUUGACUCGGUGUGGGUGAAUUGGGUGAUGGAAUGUGUCUCCACUGUUUAGUAUGCAUACCUCAUCAAUGGUGCGCCGUUUGGUAAAGUUCAACCAAACAGAGGGCUACGGCAAGGAGACCCGCUGUCCCCGUACCUGUUCAUUCUGUGUGCUGAGGUACUCACGGGACUGUGCCUGAAGGAACAACAAAAUGGGCGACUGAAGGGACUACAAGUGGCUCGAAGAAGCCCUUUCAUCAACCAUUUAUUGUUCGCGGAUGAUACAGUCUUUUUCAGUAGUACCAAUGUGAAGAGCUGUACCUCUCUAAUGAGGAUUCUGAAGAGAUACGAGAACUGCUCAGGGCAGUGCAUAAACCUGAACAAGUCAACAAUAUCCUUCUCCUCGAAAACGCCAGAGUCGAUCAUGCGUAGAGUUAAAACCUUUAUUGGCAUAGAGAAGGAAGGUGGCAUGGGCAAAUACCUAGGGCUACCUGAGAAUUUUGGACGCAAGAAGUGUUUGAUCUUAAGGUGCCUCUUUUAUAAGGAAGUUUCUAAAAGAUUUAAUAUUUCUUCAGGACAAGCAGGUGGAAUUGACUUCGAGCAUACCUUCUGUUUCCCCUGCUAGCAUGGCUUCGUACCCUUUCUUAAUGCCCUCUACAACCUCCUCAGGUAAACAUAUUACGUGUGAAGGUGUUGCAUCUUAUCUAUAUCUAAGACUAUAUGCACACAUCCAUCAUGUUGACAAGAAUAAGAGUUUCUGAGAUUAUUUAUGUCCUGCGUCUAGUAAAGGACUAUAAUGCAUACUCUUAUCUUUGUUUAUUUUUUUUUUGUGAAAAUCUACAUUGAAUGAUUUUUUUGUUUCUCUGUCCUUCUCUGAUCUUGAUACCUUGUAAUGAUGAUUGUCUUAACAUAUGUUUCACCAGUGAGAUUAACUGAUUUUUUGGUUUCUCUGUCUCAGAUUUAAGUGGCAAUGCAUUCAGUCUCUUAGACCAAAAUGUAAGAGCAUUUAGUCAAAUCAGAGCUAAUCUCUCCUCAUACAAGGUAAGUUUCUAGUUUACAUGGUUUAAAAUAAUGCAAAAUGGCAUUCUUGCUAAAAAUUGGUCUUUCCUGGUGACUAUGAACAGGCACAUGAUAACGUAGAUCUCUUCUAUCAGGCAAGGAACAACCUUAUCAGGAUCCAAAAUGAGUAAGUUAUUACUCUCUUCAAGAUUUUCUGUAAAUUUGGGUGGAGCUUGAUCAACUAAUGUCUUUAAUUUGGCAGCAUGAAUAAUAUGCCUGGCUUGAUGAGCCAGAUGCCACCAUUGUCUGUUGCAAUCGAUGAUGAUCUCUCAGCUAUCUUAUUUAGUAAUUCAACUUCGGUAAGUUCAUUAUGCUGCUCACUUUUGUAUCAAAAGUCCAUUACUAUUUUAUAUAGAGGAUGUUCACUUGUUACUUAUAUUCUUCCCAAUUUGUUCCAGGCGGUGCCUUUCAACACAAUGCAAAAUGGCGGUUUCCAUAUGAAGCAAGAGCCUUUUGGGUGACUGAUGAAGUCAUCUGGUAUCCCUUAAUCAUCUGUAAAUGAUCUUAAAAAGAAGCUGGAGAGCUCAAUAUAUAUAUAUAUAUAUAUACUAGUUUUUUUUAAAAUGAAUCUUUAAUUUUGAAUUGAAUGGGUACAAUGUAGCUAAUAUUUGUAGUUUUCAAAGAAAAUGUAUGGAAUCAGGUGAAUAAUAGAUGGUAAAAUCACAAGAUCCUCAGGAUGUUAAACUAUUUAGCUUACUCUUUGAGUCUUUUCACACAUCUUUUCAUAGAGUAAUAUUACAGUUUUGGGUAAAGUCCACUAAUUGAAUUUAGAUGCGAUAUUUUAAAAACAUAUUGUUGAGGUAGAUGGACUUCUAACCUAAAACCAAUUGGUGAUAAGUGGAGUGGCUCAUCUAUCUUAUAUAUUACUAAAGAUCUCUUCCAACUACCGAUGUGGAACAUUUGUCCCUAAUACGCCUCUUCGAGAUGAUAGUUCUUUAAGAGCCAAUUUCGGAAUGUUUGGGCAAGGAUCGAGGGCCAACUUUAGGCCGGAUCGAUGUGGAUCGGGUUGGACUGCGUGGAUUGGGCUUGGGCCGGGUCGAUGUGGAUCGGGUUGGACUGCGUGGAUCGGGCUCUGAUACCAUGUUAAGCUAGAUGGGCUUCCAACCUAAAACCAAUUGGUGAUAAGUGGAAUGACUCAUCUAUCUUAUAUACUACUAAAGAUCCAUUCCAACUACGGAUGUGGGACCUUUGUCCCUAAUACAUAUGAGAAGUUUAGGAUUUAAGAACUAAAAGGCAGAAGUGGUUGUCCAAAAAUAGAAGAAAACAUUGUGGGAAACAAGUCCAAAUUAAACAUAUGCUAAUAGAAAAAGAAACCCGGAUUUUAAGGGGGUUUUGGAUAUGGUUAGGUUACUUUUUACAUAUUGGUUUACAUACAAAUGAGAAAGACGUGACCUUCUCCAACAUCCAUUGGUGUUAACAAAUAACUUCACAUUUUCUUAAUCAAACAGUUUUAACUUUUCGUUAAUUAUUAUACAUAUUUCAAUCUAUUUGGGUCGCUUUAAUAAGGUGAACCAUGCUAUUCCCCACACUAUUAUAGUAUUAUAACAUGCUUUACUCUUAAAUGGGAACUUUACUCAUCCUGUUAAUCAUCAGAAAUAUUAAAGCCAGCUCAUGGUAUCUGCACUAUCUGUUAUUUAAAUGUAUAUGUACUCGAAUGGUUUUUGAAUGUACUUUUCAAAAGUAACAAUCAAAGUAAAAUAAUACCUUGAAGACUACUUAAGACACAUGACCUCGAUAUACAGCUUGACGACUGUAGAACUACACGUAAAUACAAAUCGAUUGUCUUAUAGACCAAUAUGAUGAUACAAAUAGAUAGAUAGUUGCUUCUUCUUUUUUGACCAAUCAAUAAUAUUCAGAUUAGGAUUGUAUAGGUAAAGAGAAGUUGAUAAAGUACAAUAUUACCCAUUUUAUGCAAAAUAGUAAUUAAAGAAUACUAGUGUUCAUAACUAAAUACAUGCACCCACAUGUACAUUUCUACACACCCAACCACAAGCUUGUGGUAGGCCUAGAUAAUUAAUUCAAAUUAAAGUUUGUUUUUCUUAAGAAACCAAAUGAAAGUUAGCAUUACUUAUUUCUUAGACUGCAUAUGAACUAAUAGUUUAUUAGUUAUAGUAAUUAAGAAUUAGAAACCUAAUUAAGAAGCUUAGAAGGUGUUACUCCUUUCUACAUCAUUUGUUAUUUUGAUCAUCAUGCGCUCGUACUUAGUUCUAUCUCAAUGUUUUUGUAGAGCACUUCACAUUUAGAAAUUGAAAAGUUUAAUAUAUAGUUUAAUGAAUCAAACUAAUUUCAUUUGAACACUUGUUCUCUUUAGUAGAAAUGGUAAGUAUGAUUAUCCUGAUUAGCACUGGGAGAGAGUGAUUAAAGAGGAAGCAAAGUGAUUAGACACAAAAACCACUUUUAUUAGAGAAUAGUUGGUCCAGCGAUUAGUGUAAGAUACAGGUACAACUGUGACACCAUUCCUUUCUUGAUGUUAAUCUCAAAACUUUAUCAUUCUACCAUUUCUAUCUAAUCCUAGCUUCUUUCUAAGUUUGUUCAUUUAAUGAUUUCUCAUCGAAAUCGACAAUUAGAGUACCUCUUUGAUCAAAGCUAUAUAUAUUCGCAAAUAAUUAGUUUAGGUAGAAAACAAUUGGAAUAUUGUAAGUAGUAAAAGCAAAAUACUUUUUGUAAGAUAGUUUACUUUUUGUAAGAUAGUUAUGAUGGUUUUAAUGUCUCCUGAAUAAAACAAGCAUGUCGUUGCAGGGAAAAUUAAAUUAACCAUCAUACUAGUAUUUUUCAUUUGGCCCCUGAAUUGACUAGUUUGAUAUAAGCAUUGGUGAAGUCCUUUCAAGAGUUUGUCUUGAUCUUCCGUACAUCGCUUCACCCACCUAUGCUUCAUCAAACUGCGAAGCUUGUAUCAGUUGAAUAGCUCCCCAUUUUGUCAACGAGCCCUAUCCUCCAAGUGUUGUUCAGCACAUAUAAAUCCACUCUACUUUGGAAUGUUACUUAGAAAAUUAGGUCUUGAAAUGAUACGUUAAGAACUUUCUACGGAGAGAGACCUUAAGCACUCAUCUUCCUCCACGAGGCCAUGAGCUAAAUUAACAAAUUGAGGUAUAUUAACAUGUUGGUGAUAAGAAACAUUUGAAGAGAGCCACUGAAUAUUGAACAUACCAGAACUCUCAAGUACUCCAUAUUCAGAUAAAUUAAGGCAAAAAAUAUGAACAAAACAUCCAGAAUUAACCUCGCAUAGUCACAUGUUCCAUUCUAGAUAUAAUAUACCUUUUACAUUUCCAAACUUGUCGGCUCACCAACAAAGAGAAACACUAUUACAACAGAGUAUACUAAGUUACUAACCAAAAAGACGUCUUAUCUCGGACCGGAGAGCUCGCUAUGAAAUGCCGAUGAUGAAGUUCUACAAUCGCUUUCUUCGCUGAUCGACCUCAACUCCAACCUCGUGUAACGGUUCGGGUCUAAAGUGGAAGAAGACGGAGGCUGAAGCACCGGGAAAACACCUUCAAGCAUUUGAACAACUUUGCUCAUGGACGGUCUCAAAUGCAUAUCUUCUUGUAUACACCAAAACGCAGUUUUCAUCGCCCUUCCAACUCUCGCAUCGUUCACAAUAUCAACACCCUCCUCCUCCUCCAUCUCCCAAUCAACGUUCUCUAUAAGCAACCCUUCCCGCAUCCUCGUAAAAGCAUAAGCAGGAAAAUUGGUACUCGCUAAAGAAGACUCUUGGUUCUUUCGUCUUCUUAUUAUUUCUAUAAGAACCAUUCCGUAGCUGUAAACAUCGCUCUUCUCCGAGAUGGCGUAAGUCGUUAUCCACUCGGGAGCCAUAUAGCCUCUCGUCCCACGCAAAGUUGUGAAGACAUGGCUCUGCUCCCGUGUCAUGAGCUUAGCGAGUCCAAAGUCAGAUACCCUGACGUUGAAGUCAUCGUCCAACAAGAUGUUCUCUGGUUUAAUAUCACAAUGGAUGAUUCUUGCGUCGCAAUCUUCGUGUAAAUAAGCUAAACCUUUCGCUGUUCCGACCGCGAUGCUGAACCUCGCGUCCCAAUCCAAGAGUAUAUCUCCAUCUCUUCUCCUGAAUAUCCAUCUCUCUAAUGAACCUUUCGAUAAGUACUCGUAAACGAGAAGCCUGUGAGCUCCUUCCUCGCAGAAACCUUUGAGAUGCACCAAGUUUUGAUGGUGAAUGCUACCGAUCGUACUAACCUCGGCUUUGAACUCUUUCUUGCCUUGACCUAUUCCUUCAAGCUGCUUCACGGCUAUUUGAGAACCGUCUGGUAACGUUCCUUUGAAAACUGAACCAAACCCUCCUUGACCUAACUUGACGGAGAAGUUACGCGUAGCUAACUGAAGAUCUUUGUAAGGAAAUCGGAUAGACGUACAAGGUAGUAUGUUGACGAAACUAUGAGUCGUCUCUUGAGAAGCAAGCAAACGUGCUUUCACUCUCCUAUGAAUCCGAAACGCCUCGAAGAUCAAAACGCAGAUGAUAAAGACCGCCGCCAAGACGGUAAUAAUAAUCACUAUAUAUGGAAAGUGUUUCCCAUCGCCAUAAUCAUUAGUAGCCACCUUGAUAUAAGAGACGAAACCAGAACCUCCCCUUCCAGAGGAUUUAAAGCUUCCAAUCCAAUCAAACAAGAAGCAGUCACCAGAACUGUUCUGGAAGAAAAGACCGAGGCACGAGCAGUUGGUGUUGCAAAACUCUUUACAGCUAUCAAGAUUGGUUUUCUUGGGGAAAGGAGAAGCAAACCCUAGUGCGAAGUAGUCAACACUAUCUCCAGCAUUUACAAGUUUCACAGACAAUGCUGCAUUGUCGUUUGUUUUCUUACAAGGAGAAGUAUCGAUCCCGGUUUUGCAAUCGCUUGACAAUCCGGACACACAUUGACACGCUUUACUAACAGAGCAGAGGUAGUAAGGGCUACAAGGCUCGGGCGUUGCACACUGAUCGGUCGGGAUUUUAGCGAGAGUAUCAGCCGCAAACACACCACUCCCAAGACUUGUAAAGGAGACCACACCGUUGUUUCCCAGAACCGCAAUCCAAGUGGCGUUAUCAUCUCUACUUUCUGAUGAAAUCAAAAACUGCCAUAACAAAAGACUGUUUAUCAUCAAAGAACAUCCACGAGUUUCCGAGUAAAGACGAUGAAGUCACUACACCACCGUAUUUAUCAAUGAUCCUCCCUCUGUCGCUUCGCAUGGACCAGUACACUUGAGGAGUCAAGCUGUUGACAGAUAAAAACAUAUCUCCUGAUUUGAUCUCAAGAGAAUAAGUCAUGUUGCUCGUAGAAGAAGCAUUGCUAGUGAGCUCCAUGCCUUCUUUUAAGACUUGAUUCGUAAUUAGAGUAUCUGUAGGAUGUUCAAAGCUCUCCCAGAUCGAAGCUCCGUCACCAGAAACAACAACGAGGUUUCCCGAGUCACGUAGCUCGAUUCUUGAAGCGCUUUUGCCUGAAUUAUCCAGCCUCCAAACCUCAGGUCCUCCUCCUCCUCCUUCUCCACGCAGCACCACAUUCCCGUUGUCUUGGAACUGGAGCUUGUCGGAAUUUGAAACAGGGGAAGCUCUGUUCGCCGACCAGAUCAGUCUCGAGCUGCUUCUGUGGACGAUGCUGAGUGUGAAGAGAGUGACGUCAUCUGGUGUGGUUAUGAAACCGAAACCAAAGUCUUUGUUGAUGGAUUCGAGGAAGAUACCGUAGUUGUUGAUGUAAUCCACCUGAGAUCCUUCAAACCCUGGAGAGAUGCUUCCAUUGUACGGUACAAGGCAAAGCAGCAGGUCCGGGAAGAAUAUCAACAUAGAUGCUAAGAGGACACUGAAGAACAUUCUCAUUCUCAUAGCUUCCUGCUUUUCUCGUUUUUUCUUCUUUUGCUUGUUUGUGUGGCGAAAAACCUCGACACACGUUAGAAGAAUUAAACCAAAAAUAAAUGGAGUUUUGUAAAUGUUUGGAUUGUGAUUCACGCUGAGAAUCGGAUAAAGGAAAAGAAGAAAGAAAAAACAGUUGGUCUUGUUACAAACAUUCUAGUCUAGCAAGAAGGUUUCAAAGUGGGAAAGCUUUUAGUUUUAGUGGUCCACACGUGAGAUACGCGUGACUUAUUAUGUACGAGUAUAUACGAGUCUGAUCAUCAAGCUUGGAAGCUCCGCUCCUCUCUUCAAAAUUGAAAUAAAAUUACAAAAAGUAUCUACUAUUAUCAGUAGAAAAUCGAUGAGUAGUACAUUUUAAUCUAUGUAUACAAGUCGGAACAUUACAAAACUGAAACUGAGAGAUAGAACACUAAUGUUUUAAACAGAACAACAAUAUACAUACAAAUACAUGGUUGUAAUGUCAUCUAAAAACCUAUAAGAAGAAGACACUAAAAACUGGGCUAUCUCGGACCGGAGAGUCUCACGGCCGACAGAUAGUUCUCACUAUUACAAUCCGACGGUCCAGACGAGGUACCACCACCUUCCUCACUAAUCGACUUACAGAAGCUCGAGUAAAGCCUCGACCCCAAAGUAGAAGAAGACGGAGGCUGAACCACGUGAAAAACUCCUUCAAGCAUCUGAACAACUUUGCUCAUCGACGGUCUCAAAUGCAUAUCUUCUUGUAUACACCAAAGCGCAGUCUUCAUCGCUCUCUGAACUCUCUCAUCGUCCACGUCAACGUUCUUCAUCUUCCCAUCAACAAUCUCCAAAAGCUUCCCUUCUUCCAUCAUCUUAAAAGCAUAAGAAGGAAAGUGGCACUUCUCCGAGGACUCUGAUGGAUCAUAGUUCUUUCUUCCUCCUAUCAGCUCUAGCAACACCAUCCCGUAGCUGUAGACAUCGCUCUUCUCCGAGAUCGCGUAGUUUGUGAUCCACUCAGGUGCCAAAUAGCCUCUAGUCCCACGCAUAGUCGUGAAAACAUGGCUCUGCUCUCUAGUCAUGAGCUUAGCUAGUCCGAAAUCAGAUACCUUGGCGUUGAAGUUAUCAUCCAAGAGAAUGUUCUCAGGUUUAAUAUCGCAAUGGAUGAUUCUUGCGUCGCAAUCUUCGUGUAGAUAAGCUAACCCUUUCGCUGUUCCGACCGCGAUGUUGAACCUUGUGUCCCAAUCCAACAGAAUAUCUCCAUCUCUUCUCCUGAAUAUCCAUUUCUCCAACGAACCUUUCGCUAAGAACUCAUAAACGAGAAGCCUAUGAGCUCCUUCCGCGCAGAACCCCCUAAGCCGCACCAGAUGCAGAUGAUGAAUGCUUCCGAUGAUACUAACCUCGGCUCGAAACUCUUUCUUCCCUUGACCUAUUCCUUCAAGCUUCUUCACCGCUAAACGCGAACCAUCAGGUAACGUCCCUUCGUAGACCGAACCAAACCCUCCUUGACCUAACUUGAUAGAGAAGUUAUUCGUCGCUGACUGAAGAUCUUUAAACGUAAACCUAAUAGGCAUCCCCGAUAGAUUCUCCAAGAAGUUAUCCUCCUCUGAGCUAUGCUCCUCAUCAGCGUCCAGAAUAGUUUUCGUCCUCGUUCUCCUAUGAAUCCGAAACGCCACGAAGAUCAAACAACCGAUGAUGAAAACCGUCGCCAAGACUAUAAUCACUAUAUAAGGAAAGUGUUUCCCAUCUUCUUCUUCUCCGUUGUCUCCACCUCCUAAACCAUUAGUAGCCACCUUGAUGUAAGAAACCAAACCAGAACCUCCACUUCCAGAGGCUUUAAAACUCCCAAUCCAAUCAAACAAGAAGCAGUCACCAGAACUGUUCCGAAAGAACAAACCGAGGCACGAGCAGUUGCUGCUGCAGAACUCUUUACAGCUAUCGAGACUAGCUUUCUUAGAGAACGGAGAAGCAAACCCGAGCGCGAAGUAGUCAACACCGUCUCCAGCAUUUACAAGCUCCACACGGGAAGAUGCGUUAUUGUCUUUCUUAUUAUUACAAAGAGAAGUAUCGAUCCCGGAUUUGCAAUCAGACCGAACUCUUGAUAAACCGGAAACACAUCCACACACUUUACUACCAGAGCAUGUGAAGUAAGACCCGCAAGGCUCAGGCGUCGCACACUGAUCGCUCGGGAUUUUGGUCGAGGAAUCAGCAGCAGAGACACCGCUCCCGAGAUUCGAGAACGAGAUCACGCCGUUGUUUCCUAAAACCGCGAUCCACGUGGCGUUAUCGUCUUUAUUAUCCGAAUAAACAAACUGCCAUAACAAAGACUGUUUCUCAUCAAAGAACCUCCACGAGUUCCCGAGGAGAGAGGAAGAAGUCACGACGCCGUUUUGUUCGAUGAUCCUCCCUCUGUCGUUCCCCAUGGACCAGUACGUUUGAGGUGUCGAGCUGUCAACGGAUAAAACCAUAUCUCCCGAUUUAAUCUCGAGAGAGUAACUCAUGUUGCUCGAAGACGGGUUGCUUGUGAGUUUCAUCCCUUCUUUAAAAGCCUGGUUUGUGAUCAGAGUAUCCGUAGGAUGAUCAAAGCUCUCCCAGAUCGAAGCUCCGUCGCCGGAGACAACCACGAGGUUCCCCGAGUCGCGAAGCUCCAUUCUCGAAGCGUUUUUGUUUGCAUCGUCCAAUCUCCAAACCUCGGAUCCUCCUUCUGUACGGAGCACGACGGUUCCGUUGUCUUGGAACUGGAGCUUGUCGGAGUUCGAAACAGGGGAAGCUCUGUUCGCCGACCAGAUGAGUCUCGAGGUGGGUUUGUGGACGAUGCUGAGUGUGAAGAGAGUGACGGAAGCUGGAGUGGUUACGAAGCCGAAGCCGAAGGCUGAGCUGUUGGAUUCGAGGAAGAUGCCGUUGUUGUUGAUGUAGUUCAUCUGAGUUCCUUCGAAGCCUGGUGUGAUGCUGCCGGUGUAGGGUACACCGCCGUGUAGAGGAUGAGGGAAGAGAGUUAGACAUGUUGUUAAGAAGACGAUGAAGAAGCCUCUCAUCGCUUUGCCUAGAAUUUUACACUAAAUCUUUAUGGAAAAAAAUGUAAACUUUUUUUGUGUGUGGAUCAAGUCAAUGGAUCUGAGAAACAAACAAAAGAAGAUUCCCAAAAGAUGCAAAAAGACAAAUCUCAGAGCGCUGUCAGGUGAACGCUAUGCAUCUGUAAAUGGAAACUGAUUGUUUCUAGAUUCAUCGCAAACCUCCCCCGAGAAGAAGAUUUCGUGACGGAGAAAUAAUCAAACAGAGAAACAAGAACUCGCCUUCGUCUUGUUAGAAAGUUUCAAACUUUUUCAGACCGGAAUUGGGUAAAGGAACCGGAAAAAUUGAAAUUGAAAUUGAAGAAGAGCUGGAUUAUUUGAAGGGGUUGGAGAACUCUGGUUUUGUGUGUUUUGCCUAUCUGUCUCAGAUUCAAUGAAGUUUGAAUUGGGUCUUUGAUAAGAGAGGAAAGCGACAACUGGGGGGGAUUGAAACAGAGAGAAGAAGGUUGUAACUUGUAAGAGUGUCUUAAUUAAUAAAAAUCUGUGUGAGCCGUUUCCUUUAAAUCCGUUUUCCUUUUUUAUAUUUUCCCUCUUGCGACCGUCACAAACUAUUAUGGACAGAUCCGACCCGCUUGGGUGGGUCUCUCUUUUUAACCAAACAUGUUCUUAAAUUUUUUGACUUUUUGACUUUUCAGAGAGGACAGAAGAAGGAGACAGAUGUAGUUGAUUGUGUAAUAAAGGGUUGUGUGGAUAGGUUCGCACCGUACAGAUUGCAUUUAUGUUUUCGUAAAAGAAUUGCAUUUUUACUGAAUGGUUGAGGUGGAAUGAAGACUAUUCUCCAGAUGAGUCUCGAGGUGGGUUUGUGGACGAUGCUGAGUGUGAAGAGAGUGACGGAAGCUGGAGUGGUUACGAAGCCGAAGCCGAAGGCUGAGCUGUUGGAUUCGAGGAAGAUGCCGUUGUUGUUGAUGUAGUUCAUCUGAGUUCCUUCGAAGCCUGGUGUGAUGCUGCCGGUGUAGGGUACACCGCCGUGUAGAGGAUGAGGGAAGAGAGUUAGACAUGUUGUUAAGAAGACGAUGAAGAAGCCUCUCAUCGCUUUGCCUAGAAUUUUACACUAAAUCUUUAUGGAAAAAAAUGUAAACUUUUUUUGUGUGUGGAUCAAGUCAAUGGAUCUGAGAAACAAACAAAAGAAGAUUCCCAAAAGAUGCAAAAAGACAAAUCUCAGAGCGCUGUCAGGUGAACGCUAUGCAUCUGUAAAUGGAAACUGAUUGUUUCUAGAUUCAUCGCAAACCUCCCCCGAGAAGAAGAUUUCGUGACGGAGAAAUAAUCAAACAGAGAAACAAGAACUCGCCUUCGUCUUGUUAGAAAGUUUCAAACUUUUUCAGACCGGAAUUGGGUAAAGGAACCGGAAAAAUUGAAAUUGAAAUUGAAGAAGAGCUGGAUUAUUUGAAGGGGUUGGAGAACUCUGGUUUUGUGUGUUUUGCCUAUCUGUCUCAGAUUCAAUGAAGUUUGAAUUGGGUCUUUGAUAAGAGAGGAAAGCGACAACUGGGGGGGAUUGAAACAGAGAGAAGAAGGUUGUAACUUGUAAGAGUGUCUUAAUUAAUAAAAAUCUGUGUGAGCCGUUUCCUUUAAAUCCGUUUUCCUUUUUUAUAUUUUCCCUCUUGCGACCGUCACAAACUAUUAUGGACAGAUCCGACCCGCUUGGGUGGGUCUCUCUUUUUAACCAAACAUGUUCUUAAAUUUUUUGACUUUUUGACUUUUCAGAGAGGACAGAAGAAGGAGACAGAUGUAGUUGAUUGUGUAAUAAAGGGUUGUGUGGAUAGGUUCGCACCGUACAGAUUGCAUUUAUGUUUUCGUAAAAGAAUUGCAUUUUUACUGAAUGGUUGAGGUGGAAUGAAGACUAUUCUUUUGUUCUUAACGAAAGAACAAUCUGAACAUCACUUGAGAUUGCUUAAAAUUGUGUCAUGUAUGAAAUUUGAAUUUGGUGUGUAAUUGAUAUUUGUAUUGCAGAUGACGGAUUGUUUUUUCGCCUUGUCAUCACUAGUUAAAAGUUACAGGUUUCAAUUAUGUUUUUAGUAAAUGUAAAAUCAUACAAAAUUCAAUAUCAAAUGAAACCAAAAUAAAAAAUAAUGUAUAGCAUCUUCGAUACAAAACGUUAUUUUAAAAAAAAAAAUUGAGUAACUCUGGAGUUUAUUUAACUUUAGUCAUAUCCUAUUUGGAGUAAAAAAAAAAGAAUAAAUUUACUUUAUUAUAUAAUAAAAAUGAUUUGGGUGUCGAAACAUUGUUCUAUUCUAAAUUCUAUUUUGGAAUAAAAUAUAAAAUGAAAUUGGAGGCAAAAACUCUCUUUUUUAAAGAAUUUUAAAUUGUAUUCCAAUCAAAAAACCUUUCUUCUCUUUUAGUCAUGGGGAAUUCAAAGAUGGAUCAGCCAACGUCAAAACAUGGGUUUUUCGUGUGUGUAGUUUGAAUACACAUCUACUUCGUCUUUUUCUUUACCGUAAAAAAGGAAACUAUGUUCAACAAAUAACACCUAAACUUACUUUUUCCAAUAAAAGUAAAUAACACCUAACCUUACUAAGUCUUCCCAUGCAGGCCCGUCCCUCCAAUAAGGGAACUAAAGCAUCUGCUUUAGGCCACAAAAUAUAAACAAAACAUUAAUACCAUUUGUCACUGAAUAAUAGUUAGGUCAAAUGGUUUAAAAGUUUGAUCUGCAUAGUUUGAUUCUCUUUUUGUCCAGCGUAAUUUUAAUUUUUACCAUUCGAUAACUCUAUACCUUUUUGUAUUGGCUGACUGUUACUAUUUAUUGUUGGUAUUUAUAUAAGAGGCCACAUAAAUAUUUUUUGUGCUUUAGGCCACCCCAAAUUAUGGGACGGCACUGUUCCCAUGAAAUAUUAAAAACAGAAUAUCACUCACAAAAACGUAGAGAUUACGAAGGAAAAAAAAACUAUGAAUUAUGCCUUUUUUCAAAAAAAAAAAAAAAAACUAUGAAUUGGGUUGGAAAAGAACACGAAGAGGGACGUGGGGAAGUGUGAAAAAAUAGAUUGAGGUGUUUGUUUGAUUGUUAAGGUAAGACUGAGUACGGAAGCCACAGCAGUCAGUAUACCGAACUCCCCGUGUACUUUCUUACGUUCCAUCAAGAAUUUUUUACAUACAUAUUUGCCCAUAAGAAAAUAAAAUCUUUUUUAGACAAAACUAAAGAGAAAUUGUGUUUCUUUAUUAUUGUUUAAUCUAUUUCUUAAUAAUUUAUUUUUUUUUAUUUUUAAAUUAAAAAUACAUAUAGCAAAUUUUGUCGAAAGCCACAAAAUCAAUUUUUGACCAUUUUUUCAGUUUUAGGUUAAUGGAAACGACAAUUACUGAAAUGUCCUCAUUCCUAACCUAUCACUUACAAGUUUAUAGCGGCUGUUCAUUUUUUUUUCCUCACCAUUUCUUCACUUUUUCUUAUAAAUCUUGUUCCUUUUAAUCAAAAUAUGAUAGAUCUUUACCAUGAAUUGAGAUUUCGAGCGUAACAUCUAGAAAAUAAGGAACUUUUAACCUUUUCCGAGUAGUUCACCGAAUCAUCUCGAAUCGCCACGGCCACCGGCCGUUACACGAUUUUCCGCCAAGUUUCCGGCCGUGGAGAGCGCGUUUUCGAACAUGGGUUACAGAUGAGUGAUAUGUGGAUGUUUGAAAAAUAUGGAUAGCUACAUAUAGAAUAUAAGCAUGGAACGACACAUGUGGAUGAGUGUGGAAAGAUAAGCGUGGACGGGUAAACAUGGACGGCUAUUUGUGGACGAGUAAAAUUAAGAUUAAAAUUUAAAAUUCAACAUACUACAUAUCUCAUGGUGGAGGACUGUGACGAGCUCGAACCACCGCAGCUUCACCGAGCUCAUCCACGAUGAUGUUGAGCUUGGAAUCCAUGGUGUGGUUCACCGGGAAGAGGAGCUGACUCGUUUUGACCGGAGGUUUUGGAGGAGGAGAUGACUCGUUUUAACUUUUUUGGUUUGUUUAGCUUUGUUUUCAUCACUAAAGCUUGUUUUUUUCUCUAGACAUGUAGUGGUAGUUAUUGGUUUGAAAUCAUUAAUUUGUUCAUCCUUGAGAUUGUGGACACAUUGGCAACCAUAUCACCGUCUUUCAAUAUGUUACAUUUUGUUAUAUAUAUGUUUAGUAUUUGAUUUACUACUCUAUCCACCACAUCAAGUUUCAAUUCCCUAUCUACAAAUUUAAGAGAUCUCUCUUGUUCUUUAUUCAUGGUUAUGUUAGCGUCUAUAUCCACAGCAUAAUCAAAAUCAUCUUGUCCCCGUCCACAUACAAACAUUGUUGUUGGAGUUGUGUUCUUAAGCUCAACUAUUGUGGAGCUUACUCUGAUGAAGCUUCUGAAAUUUUUACAUGUAUCAUCCGUCCAUGCAUCGAAUGUCUAUUAAGGAUCAAGUUGUCCACAGUUUAUGGCUGGCCCACAACAAAGUGUCUCACAUGUAGGAAGUGGUUCUGAGUGCAAAUAAAAGCCAAAAAACGGCCUAGAGCUCUUCCAUCAAUCCACUGUUCUGGUAAAUAUCAAAAUCUCCAAUAUGCCCCUGGUUAAUGAAAUGAACCAAAACCAAAUUACUCCUUUUUCACUACCGACGUGGUGUUUGGUUUGACUUCAUGGUUACAAUCUUCAAAGCAGAUUCAUCAACCCUUCUUUUUCAACGGCCGAGCGUUAUUCCUGAAUGUAUGAUUCAUACUAUUAUCAAUGCCAAUUUUAAAAUUUUCAUUACUUAAUUGUUUGGCGACACAGGAUAUACCUAAUCGAUAUGUUGUAACCUCCCCCUACCAUUUAAAAUUCUCGGUGAUUUAUCGUUGUUGCCACUCCGUAAACCAAGUCAAUCAUGUGAAAACUUUAACAUGUAAGUAGUUUUUUUAUGGUUAUGUACUAGAGUAGCUAGAUAAAUAUUGAGACAACUCUUGAUUCCACAGAUCCUCCAGAAGGGCACAAAUAUAAUAAGAGUAAAGUUUUCAUUAAAACGUUACAUCAUAUUAAUUGCUCAAAUGAAAUGUAGUUGGGGAGUUAGCUUUGGUUUUAAUGACCCGCAAUCAUCUACUCCCAUUCAUAUCCCUAAGUUAUAAAUUAUUCUGAAAUGAGUUGGCGAAUCGCCAAGCGUAUUAUACAUACAUCCAUAGUAUUUCAUACUAGUGAAAAAUGACAAGCAUUAAAUUAUAAACAUAAAUUAUUGGAAAAAUAAUAAACAGCUACGCAAUAGUAAUGGAUCAUAGUGAUACAAUUCGAUGUGGCCUAAACAGUGACAGCACCAUAGGUCUUUAACUAAACCUAAAAUGCAACUUCCUCAAACGUGCAUCUACCAUUAUUGUUUAUAUAUAUGCACAAUUAUGUACGUCUGGAUAUGUACUAUUGUCAUCUGCAUUUAUAUAUAUAAUAUAUAUCCAUUAUCAAUAUAUGUCAUAGCUUCAUGGUCCAUCUUCUUCUGGAAGUCCUUUAUUUCCAGUUGUAUAGGUUAUUUUACUUAUGAGCUCUAUAUAUCUUUAUAAUGUUUUAUUUUUCUUUCUUAGAGAUUUCAAAUGUACAUAUGUGGAAUUACUUCCUCGACGAUGUGUUGAUAUAUAACUUAUCUGCAUCCUAUAACUUAUUGAAUUUAAUAUAUUAAAUAGAUAACGUCAGUAUGAGUAUGAUAACAUAACAAAUUAAAAACCGAUGUCUAAUUAAUGCUAACUAUAACUCUCAAAGCAAAAAUGUUGUAAAUAUUCGUAAAAGAUACUACGUUUAUGAAAUAAGCGAGACUUUGUUAUAUUUCAGGUUCGUAAAGUAAGAAACUAAGAAUAUGUGAACACAGAGCUACUUUACGAAAAUGGAGAUUAAUUUGUCUUAUUACAUAAAUCAAAGAGACUCUGGGUUCACAUAUUUUAUCUGCCUUUCCACAUAAAAUAGAAUAAGAUGCUUUUUCACGUUUGAAUAUGGUUCCGGAUAUUAUAUUAUCAUUUGUUAACCAGGCAAUUAGGUGGUUUGUAAGAAACUAAAUCUUCUUCGUGGUACGUCAACGUGACAUAUCGCUCGCUUCAUUGUUGGUAUUUUCUUUCUUUCUUAUAGACAACUCAUAAGAAAUUAUAUCACCAUAUCUUUACGUAUUCUAAAAACAUGUUUGAUUCCGCCUAUUCUUUUUUCAAAAAGACAAUUAUAUAUUCUUGUUGUUUUGUGAUUAUUGUCGAUCUAUUUAAAAAAAAAAAAAUUUUAUGACAAAGGUAUGCAUGGAGAACUAGAAGUUAAUCUUUUUAUCAAGACUAAAGAGUAGUCAAAACUCAAAAGCAAUAUAUUUUUUGGGGUCUACAAUUUAGUAUAUCAAAGCAGUAAAAAUUGUAUGGUCUGAUGGUCUCAUUAGUGGUUAAAAAUAUCUGCGUUUUAGGUACUCCAGGGUGUAAUCCUAUGGCAUCAGAUGUUAAAGAAAAAAACACAAGAAUCGUAUAUGUUGUUUAAUAAACAAUAACAACGUAGCUCUUUCAUGCGUACAUAUGUUUCAUGUAUCUAAAUAUCUAUCGUAUGUUUACAUAUCAUGAUUUUACAGAUGCAUACAAUAAUACGUAUGUAGGCAUGUGCGUUAACAAGAAUAAGCAAAUCUUAUCUCAACAAAUCACAUACUAUAAAACAUAUAAUUUUUAUCUUGCAAAUCGGUAUAGUUCGUCAUGUAUCUUCCAGUACAAUCAUACGAAUGAUCACAUUUGAUAUCAUCAGGAACGUGGUAGCCGUCAACGUACAACUGAGAUUUCUCUCUGUUUUUUCUUUUAUAAACUAGUACUAUAAUACAUAUAUAAUUGAUCAAUAAUGGAUCGCUUAAUUCCAAGAAAAAUACUAAUUAAAUUCAAAAGAACCGGUCAUUUCUUGUCAAACCAAUACGUAGAGAGUCAAUUGGUCACCAAUUUGAGUAAUUUAAAACCACUUGGAUCAACUUUUAGGUAAGACAUAAAUUAUAAUGAACAAGGUUAUUUAUAUAAUAAUGGACGACGUUGGGCAAUGAGAAAGAAAAGCCUCACUCAAAAUCCAAUGAGAAAUUACUUUUGUGAGGAGAUUAGUAGAUUACAAAAAGCUUAGCAUUUUUAAAUCUUAUUUUCCAUUUUUUCAAUAAUGGACUGCUUUGCUGAUAUAGAGAAGUCUUGAGAUCAAAGAUUCAUAUUAGGUAAACUGGUAAAGUUUAAAAUUAACGAGGUCUUCCCUGCUGUCAAAAGUUUAGUUGAAUUAUGCUUUGUUAAAUGGUUUACAACAAGGGAAAUAUAUUGCCUCUAUGUUAUAAUAAUGUACAAGUGCAUCUGUAAAAUCAAAAUAUACACUCGUAUAGAUUUGGUUGUUGAGACAUUUUUCUGCAUGUAAUAAUUUUCUUUUUAGAUUCAUAUUCGAGUAUGCAUGUAGUACUGCAUGAGCUUUCAUUUAGUGUGACUCUCAACUCAACUCAACUCAAAUUAAUUUAAUUUUAUGUUAUAGUCUAACCGUAACACCCAACGUAACACACAACAUCACAUAAGGUAGAUCUGUUACAUGAAAGCAUUAACGUAUGCAUGGGCAUCAAAUAGUGAUUUUUUUAGUUUUCUACCUGUAUCACUAGAAUAAUUAGCAUAUAAUUUGGUCAUGUAUGAUGCAACGUAAAAACAAGUAGGCCCAAGAGAGUGGAGGGACUAAUAAAUGGACAUACGCUGAGUUCAAUACAAAACCAACUAACUGGCCCAAGCCCGUAUCACAAGAGUUAGCAUUGGUUAGCAGGUUCCUAUCACAACUAUUUUCAUAAAAUCUUACGAAUAUCUUGUGUAACUACUAUCUAUUGUGAAGGUACAGAUGUAGUAGACUCGAUAUUUCGAAAUCAUGCUAUUAAAAGUACAUGGAAGUUUGAUGAUACAAGAUUAAUGAACUGACAAAUAGAAGACGAAGACUGCUCUGUUUCCAUCAUUAUCUCUCUCUCCAUUUACAUAUCUAAAGACACCUAAAACCUACAGAGGAACUAAAAUAGCUAACUAAGAGACAUCCUCUAAUACAAGACUCGCUAUCUGACUCUCAAUUUUCAGCUUUUGUUGUUGUUACUGCUGCUUAUCUUACUCCGUUUUUGACUAGGAGUUCUGAUAUCUCCAAGAGGUCCUAAGCGCAGAGAUAGAUCACACCCAUCGAAGGUAGUACUGCCCUUUGUUGCAUCAGUGGCAAUCACAGGUUUGCUGCUCUUGUUCGACUUGUACGAGUCAGUGACAUUGUUAGAUCUUGGCAAAGAAGAAACCAUGAAUGAAUAACACAAAGGGUAGCUUGAGUACUUGGAGACAGGGCAUCUCUCGACCCACUUCUCUUGAACAUCGCUGUGAAAACUCAUAACCUGAAGAUUCUUCGGACAAAAGUUGUUCUGUUUCAUGAAGGCUUGGUAUUGCGGAGACAAAAUGUUGUCCAACUUAGUUGAGUCUUGGCUAAGAUAACAUCUGGGGUUUAUGUUCCGUUGGCUUCUUGAAGCUCUCCUUGGCGUGCAACCCAAAUGCAAAGCAGCUACAGAAACAAAAAGAACAAGACUAAGAAGAAGAAUCAAGAGAAGUGUAAUAGUUCAGAUUGUAUACGGUAUACCUUCAAUACAAGGCUGAAGAAACUCCCCUUUUUCGGUGGUCUCAUCGAGUCGGAUUAUGGUGUUAAUGGCCUCGUUUGUACGGUCCAAAAGUGUAUUCAUGUCCAUAUACUCAGCCUAACAAUGAAGUAAAUCAAAAUAUAUAGUCAAGACUCAACUAACUUGGACACUUUACUUACAAAUCUAUUAUUUAAGUACAUAUACAGUGACAUGAGUUCCAAUGUUCAUUAUGUGGAGCAGAACAUCACAAGUAACACUGUAUCUAUCUCACUGUUCAAUGAACUACUUCUCUGUUCCACAAUAACUGAAGCUAAAUUACUGUUGAGAAACAGUCUUUUAAAUUUCGAAAUUAAUUUUUUUUUUUUGGAGAAUGAAAAUGUAAUAAAGAAAAGAACCUCAGAAUUGGCUUUGGAGUACAUGAUUUCUUCAGCUCUCAAGACAACAACAGGGAGCUUCUCUUGCCAUUCAGUGUUCUUCUUGGUAGAUUGGCUGUGAAUCUCACAAACAAUCCUGCCAAAAAAUAGGUUUCAUAUAACAAUUGAGCUAAAAGAAAACAAAGAAGGGACACAUGCACACCUCUACAUACACUGUUACAGAGUGAGAGAGAGAGAGAGAGAGAGAGAAGAUGACCUGAAAAUCUCUUGGAUGAGCAAACCCCUUAUGGGUUGGUGUCUGUCACUAUGCCAAACUCUUCUGAUGCAUUCGUACGGUCUUGGUCUUGGC